UAUCAUCUACCUAAGUUUCUUCGGCGCCUUAUCUGAGCUUCCAUUUUGUGAGGGUUAGGAUACAAAGUAGGUGGAGUUUGAAAGGAGAUCCAAACUUCAUAUUGUCAAUAUCACUGUGGAAGCAUUCAUAGGCACAGUUGCUAAAAGAAUAAUUUUGUUUGAUAUUGUCAAUGUUUAUGUUCAGUUUAAUUCUUGCUAGGUGCUAAUGUACAUUAUGCUUCGAUUUGCUAAAAAGGGGAGCUAAUUCAAAUUUCAGAAGUUUUCUAUGCUGCAAGAUUCUCUAAUUUGUGUUCAUAUCUUGAGAUUGUGCCAACAACUGAUGGGGCUGAAUAAACCUGUCAGUUUUAGUAUUUUUCUUUACUUUACUUAGAGCCGUCAAUCUGGGCUAGGCCUGUUGGGCUGGCCUAGCCUAACCCGGGAUUUAAUAGGGCUGGGCUAAAAAUUUUGGACCCCAUUUAAGAAAAGGGCUUUUUAGCCCGGCCUGAAUAAGCCUGCUGAUUUGUGGGGCUUGAGAAAUAUAGGUAGGGCCGGCCCGUGGGCUAAUACAAAUUAAUUAAAAAAUAUAAUAUAAUAUUAAAAUUUAAAAUUAAAGAGAUCCAAACUCAAAAUCUAUUUAAAGUUUUUUAGGAAAUCACUAAGUAUAGAAGUUGCAUCCACCAUGAAAAUGUCCAAACACUUGUUGCUACUCGAAACUGGUUACAUGGUUUUUCUCAAACUGGUAAUAUAUUUUUGUGUACAUUUAAAUAUUAUAAUUCUCAAUUGAGUUAUUUUUUAAUAUUUAACUAAUUGAAACGGCAUAUAAAUUGCAGAUGUUAAGACAACCUUCCCACAAGUCACAAGUUGAUUCAGAUAUGCUUGAUGAAGAUAAUCAUGAAGUGUUAGAUACGUCAUAUGUUUCAUGAAGUGUUAGAUACGCCAUAAGUUUCAUGAUUUUUUAAGGAGUUUAUUUUUUACUUUUUUAUGGUUGGAAUAUUGUCAUAUUUUUUGUGUUUUAUUGUGAUCAUUGCAAAACAGUUAGGUUAAUAUUUUUAUUUAGAUAUUUAUAUUUUUACUUGAAUAAUUUAAUUUAAUAAUUAUAAAAAAUAUAUAUAACUUUUAAAAAAAUGGGUAGGCCCGGCAAGCCUGUAGCCCACGUACUUGUGGGUUGGGCCGACCGUUUUCUGGCCCACACAAAAAAUGGGCUAGCCUGGCCUAACCCGUAAAAUGUCAAAGUCUGUAUGGGUUAGCCCGGAUGGGGUGGGAUAGCCCAUAUUGACAGCUCUACUCUAUCAUUUAAAUAACGGAAAAGGAUCAAGAAUACCUCUGACCUAUUGGAAAAGGUUUAAAAAUACCCUUCAUCCACUUUUUGGUCUAAAAAUAUCCUCCAUUGGUAUUUUUGGUUCAAAAAAUACUUCUCCUUCCACCUUUUGGGCUAAAAAUACUCUCAACUCAAAUUCAAUUGAAUUAAAUUCUUUUACUUAUUAGUUGUUUUGAAAGAUAAAUUUUUAUUUAUUCAAAUUCUUAAUAUUAGCUCAUCUCAAAUAUUUAAAAUUUAUUAAGUCUAAUUAUAUUUAAAAUUUUAAAAAAUUCUUACGUUAUCAAAUAUUUUAGUAAAGAGAGUAAAAAAACAACAAAAUUUGACAAAAAAAGACCCCCUUUUUUAUGUCUUAUUUACCGUUGUCACUGACCCAAAAUAACGAUGACGAUGAUGAUGAUGAUGAUAUUAAUAAUAAUAAUAAUAAAAAAAAUUUAAAAACUCAUUUUUCCCUAUUUACAAUCAGUGAUCCAAAAUAAGGACACCACCCAUCACGAAAUUUUGAAAAAGAAAAAAAAUCUUUUUUGUUUCUUAUUUACGGUUACUAAUCAUAUCUAAAAUCCUAAAUAUUAGCUACGUAUAUAAUUAGUCAAAUUUUGUCUUUUUCCUUUAUUCCCUGUUACUAAAAAUAUUGACAACAUAACAAAUUUAAUAUUUUAUUUUAAAUAUAGUUAGACUUAAAUAAUUUAAAUAUUUUGGGAUGAACUAAUAUUACGAAUUUGAAUAAAUAAAAUAUUAUCAUUAAAACAAAUAAAAAGAAUUAGCUAACAAGUAAAAAAAAAGUUCAAUUCAAUUUGGGUUAAGGGUGUUUUUAGACCAAAAGGUGGAUGGAGGAGUAAUUUUGAACCAAAAGCAAAAGUGGAGGGUAUUUUUAGACCAAAAGGUGGAUGAAGGGUAUUUUUGAACCUUUUCCAAUAGGUCAGGGGUAUUCUUGACCCUUUUCCGUUUAAAUAAAAGUAUACUGGAAUCUAGUGUAUAAUUUAUAGUUUUUUCAAAAUUUAAUAUUUUUAACAGUUAAUUACGCUAAACAUUUUUAGAUAUUUAAUAUUGCUUAAAAAAAAGUCAAAUCAAAUUAUGUUGAUUUUUAAUUUAAAUAUUGAGGUUUUUUUUAAAUUUAAUUUGUUUUUUUUUUAUUUGGAGUAAAUAGCCUUGGUGCAUCCAAAAUUGAGUCAUUUUAUAGGAUAAUUUAGUAUAAUUAGUCAUAUUUUAAAGUCAAAUCUUUCGUUUGAAAGAAUUAUACGAUAAAUCGUGUAAAUGUUACAACACAAAAGUUUUGCAUGACUUGUAUCGUCGAAAUAUUGUUCCAAACAGCCUUCGUUUCUCUUGAAAAUAGAGUUCUAGUCAAAUUAAAUAUCUUAAUUAAUUUCUUUUAGUGCCUAGGGGUGUUCACAUGUCGGUUUGGAUCGGUUAUUAGUCAAAAUGAAAAUCAAACCUGUUAACUUAUGAUAUUCUGAAUAAUGACAAGUUGAAUUCACAUCGCAGGAAAUCAAGAGAAGAAACAAGAAGAUCACCAGCUUCACCAAAAAGACUGAGUGACACGAGCAAACCAUGGAAAUAGAUUGACCAAAUCAAAUCUAAAGGAUCGCACCAAUCAAGGAAUAUAUUGGCUCAUAAUUUGGCACAACCAUGGAACUGGAUCAACACACAAUCAAUCUAAAAGAUUGAUUCAAUCAGUCAUCAUAAGGAUCACACCAAUCAAGGAAUAGAUUGAUUCACAAUCUGCAGCAACCAUAGAAAUGGAUCAACACACAAUCAAUCUAAAAGAUUGAUUCAAUCAGCCAUCAUUCCAAAAGGAAAACAGCACCAGGCAAUCAAUUAGGACAACAAGCAAUUCACACUGAUUAUGGAACUGAUCAGGAAAGAUGACAGCUGCAAAACAGAAGGCUCAAGACAGCAAGCAGGAUCAAAAGAAGAUCAGCAAAGGAUUCUACAUCAGCAUUUGUUUCAAGGCAGAUUAAAUCAAGGAUCCAAGAUUCUCAAUCAAGGAAACAUUACAAAUCCUUGAUUGAAGGAAACUCCCUUGGGUUUUCCUUUCCUGUUAGAGCUAAAAACCCAUCGCAAUACUGAUAUAUAAAAGAAGACUCAGACCAACAGUUGAAAUUACGCACUUCACUUGAACUUAUAUUGUAAUCUUCUUUUAUCUUUCAUAAAAUUUUGUACACACUUGAGUGAACAAAUGAAAAGAAAAGAAAAAGAAAGAUCUGAGUGUAGGUUAUACAGGUAGAGGUUGUGUCAAAGAAAAAAAUCCGAUUUGCAUAUUAGACGGGGAUCUUAAUUGUAACAUUUUGUAACACUCAAGUUCUCAACAAGCUCUUAAGGAAACCCUUGUAACCCAAGAGGACUGGACUAGGCACCACAUCGGUGAUCUGAACCAGUAUAAAAAUACUCUGUGUUAUUUACUUACUGCAAGUUAUUAUUACUGUUUAUUUAUUCUACCAACGUGCAGGUGAGUCGACUGGCCAUUACAGAAAGUUGACUAAAGGAAAUUUUAAUUCACCCUCCCCCCUCUUGACUUUCAAUUAGUAUCAGAGCAGGUCUCACAUUUGAAGUGUUUAACCACACGUGAGCAAAGAUCCAAUGGCACACUAUUAGAUUCCUGGUGCUCUACUUCAAGAUGGACAUUCUUCACACCGACCACCAUACUUCAAUGGACAACAUUACUCUCACUGAAAAGACAGAUUCAAAAUCUUUGUCUCUUCAAAUUUCCUGGUGCUCUACUUCAAGAUGGACAUUCUUCACACCGACCACCAUACUUCAAUGGACAACAUUAAUAUCACUGGAAAGACAGAUUCAGAAUCUGUCUCUUCAAAUGAUCACCAAGCAUGGAUAGUGAUCAAGAAGGGCCCAAAGCCUAUUCCUGGACUAACAGACAAAGAUGGCAAUAAAAAAUCAUUUGAUCCUGAAUCAUUUGACAUCACUAAGGAGCAACAAAAGGUAAUUCAAACUAAUGCUAGAGCUAUAAGUUUGUUAUAUUGUACAGUGAGCGGAGCUGAAUAUGACAAGAUAUCAACAUGUGAAACUGCAAAAGAAAUGUGGGACAAACUAGAAGUGACUUAUGAAGGAACCACCAAGGUGAAGGAGGCUCAGAUCAGUUCACUAGUAAAUGAAUAUGAAUUGUUCAAAAUAGCCGAAGAUGAAACUGUAGAAACUAUGUUCUCAAGAUUCAGUAAAUUGUCUGCGAACUCAAAUCACUUAAAAUGGUGUAUUCAAAUGGACUUCAAGUUAAAAAAUUUGUUAGAAGUCUUCCCAAAGCUUGGGAAACUAAGGCUGCCAUUCUUGAAGAUGGAGAUCUGCAAAAAAUGACAUACGAUGAACUUAGAGGCAACUUGAUGGUCUAUGAACAGAAUCAUAUCAACAGGUACAAUAAAGAUGAUAAAAAGAAAACUGUGGCAUUUACAGCUGAGACAUCUGAAAUUGGAGAAGAAGUCGAUGAAAAUCAAGACGAAGGAAUGGCUCUUAUAAAUCGAGGAGUGAGACAAAUGCUUAGACAAAGAGGACAGAGACCUCAACAGGACUUUAAGAACAAUGAUUUCAAAAGAAAUGAUGAUCGCUGCUACUACUGUGGAAAACCAGGACACAUCAAACAAAACUUCCCAGAACGGAGAAGAAGAAACAAUCAAAGAAAUGAGGACCCUAAGAGUCUCGGAGCAUGGGAUCAAAGAGAAACAACCGACGAUGAUCAUGAUGAAAUGGUCAAUCUAUGUUUCAUGGCACUAGGUGAAACAAGUGAGGAGCAAUCUAAGAAAACCUACAAAAAGGGAAUGUGGGUACUUGAUAGUGGAUGCUCCAAGCAUAUGUGUGGAAAGAAAGAAAACUUCAAAACCAUCAAAAAAAUCGAUGGAGGAUUUGUAAGAUUUGGGGACAAUGCUAAAGGAGAUGUAACACGAGUUGGAACUAUUACUCUAAGCUCAUCAUGUGAUUUGGUUGAAGUAUAUCUCGUUGAAGGACUCAAGCACAAUCUUUUUAACAUCAGUCAACUAUGUGAUGCUGAAUUUCAAGUUACCUUCAAUACAGCAAGCUGCAUUAUCAAACAUUUUGAGAAAAAGCUCACUAUCAUUGGAGAUCGAGUAAAUAAUAUAUAUAUUUUAAAUAAUGUUGUUUUUUCAACUCUUACUUGUCUUACUGCAGUCACAAGUGAUCAUUGGCUAUGGCAUCGAAAACUUGGACACGCAAGUAUGCACGCUUUUGAGAAACUAUCCAGACUUGAACUAGUUAUCGGCUUACCAAAACUAAAAUUUGAUAAAGAUCACAUUUGUGACGGAUGCCAAUUAGGUAAGCAGACUCGUUCAUCGUUUAAAGUAAAAGACAUUGUAAGUACAUCUAAACCUCUUCAGCUUCUUCAUAUGGAUUUGUUUGAUCCUACUCGAACAGUAAGUAUUGGAGGUAAAAGAUAUGCUUUUGUAAUUGUUGAUGACUUCUCAAGGUUUACAUGGGUAAUUUUUCUCUCUCACAAAAAUGAAGCUUUUGCUAAUUUUGGAAGUAUUUUGCAGAAAAGUUCAAAGAGAAGCAGAUUAUUUUCUUACAACUAUUCAUAGUGAUCACGGUGGUGAAUUUGAGAAUAAGGCAUUUGAAGAGUUCUGUGCUCAAAAUGGGUUCACUCAAAACUUCUCUUCACCUAGAUCACCUCAGUAAAAUGGAGUAGUGGAAAGGAAAAAUCGUUCUUUACAAGAUACAGCAAGAACUAUGUUACUUGAUCGAAAUCUCCCUGACCAUUUUUGGGCAGAAGUUGUAAGCACUGCUUGUCACAUUCUUAACAGGUGUCUUAUCAGACCUAUACUAAAGAAGACUCAAUAUGAACUAUGGAGAGGUAAGAAACCAAACAUCAGCUACUUCCAUCCGUUUGGAUGCAAAUGUUUCAUCCACAAUAACGGUAAGAACAAUCUUGGUAAGUUCAAUCCUAGAAGUGACGAAGGUAUUUUUCUAGGUUAUGCUCCCAUUAGCAGAACCUUUCGUGUUUCUAAUAAAAGAACUUUAAGUGUUGAAGAAUCUGUCCAUGUGGUAUUUGAUGACACUAAUCCAAGAAUGCAGGAAAGUGAUGCAAGUGAGGAUGAAAUUGAAUCAUCCAAAUCAACAGAAGUCAUUUCUAACAUGUCCACUGAAAAUAUCACUGAAGAGCCGGCUACUGUAGAAGUAGAGUCGACUACUGCAGCUGACAAAACAAAUGUACCUAGAGAAUGGAGACACAAUGCAAGCUAUCCUGAAAACUUCAUUCUGGGAAAAUCAGAUGAUAAUAUUCAGACUAGAUCCUCUCUCAAGAAACAAGCUUCAUUAGCUCUCAUAUCUCAAAUGGAACCAAAACGAAUAAAUGAAGCAAGAUGAAUCUUGGAUACAAGAUAUGAAAGAAGAACUUGAUCAAUUCGAAAUGAAUCAGGUAUGGACUCUUACUGAAAGACCUAAGAACUGUUCUGUGAUAGGAACAAAGUGGGUUUUUCGCAACAAAUUGGAUGAAAACGGAAAAGUUAUCCUAAAUAAAGCCAGGUUAGUAGCUCAAGGUUACUCUCAGCAACAAGGAGUCGACUAUGAUGAAACCUUUGCUCAUGUAGCAAGGAUGGAAUCUAUUCGAAUUCUUCUAGCAUUUGCUUCUUUCAAUCGCUUCAAACUUUUUCAAAUGGACGUUAAAAGCGCUUUUUUAAAUGGAUUCAUUAAAGAAGAAGUUUUUGUUAAGCAACCUCCUGGUUUUGAAAAUCCAUCAUGUCCUGAUUAUGUUUUCAAAUUAUCUAAAGCUCUUUACGGUCUAAAACAAGCCCCAAAAGCUUGGUAUGAAAGUUUGAGCAUUUUUUGGAUAAAAAAUGAUUUUCUUAGAGGGAAAAUUGAUACAACCUUGUUUACAAAAAAAUCUGAUUCGUGUGUUCUUAUUGUUCAAAUUUAUGUUGAUGAUAUUAUAUUUGGAAGUUCUAAUCUUUCUCUUUGUGAGAAUUUUGCAAAUCUUAUGAAAGGAGAAUUUGAAAUGAGUCUUAUGGGCAAGCUUUCAUUCUUUCUUGGUCUUCAAAUUAAGCAAUCAGAAAAAGGAAUUUUUAUAAAUCAAGAAAAGUAUGCAAAAGAGUUGAUCAAAAAAUUUGGAAUGGAAAAAAGGCAAAGAAUUUGGCACUCCCAUGAGUCCCUCCACCCGCCUCGAAUCCGAUACAACAGGAAAAGCAGUUGACAAAAAACUUUACCGAGGAAUGAUUGGGUCCUAAUUAUAUCUCACUGCAAGUCGACCUGACAUUAUGUUCAGCGUUUGCAAAUGUGCACGAUUCCAAUCCGUUCCAAAGGAGUCACAUCUCACCGUUGUGAAACGAAUUAUUCGAUAUCUCAUUGGAACCUCUGAUAUGGAGUUAUGGUAUCCUUUUUUAAAAAAAAUUGAUUUGAUUGGAUAUUCAGAUGUUGACUUUGCAGGUGAUAAAAAUGACAGAAAAAAACACCGUGGAACAUGCCAAUUUUUGGGAAAAUUUCUUAUUUCCUGGCAUAGUAAGAAACAGACCUCUGUUGCCCUUUCAACUACUGAAUUUGAAUAUCUGGCUGUUGGAAGUUGUGGCACUCAACUACUUUGGAUGAUGCAUCAACUCCUGGACUAUGAUUUAUUCUUUGAGGGAGUACCUAUUUUUUGCGAUAAUACUAGUGCUAUUAGUCUAUCUAAAUAUAUUAUGCAUCAUUCUAGAGCUAAACAUAUAGAUAUCAAGCAUCAUUUUAUUCGUGAUCAUGUUGAAAAUGGUGAUUUUGUGCUUGAAUUUGUUGAUUUUGAGAAUCAGUUAGCCGAUAUCUUUACAAAACCUUUACUUUAGGAAAGAUUUUGUUUCCUUCGAGAAUGUCUUGGCAUUACCUCAUUUAUUAAUUAAGUACCAGUUUUCUUGGCAUCACUCUCUCUGUAGGAAUGUGAUUACCUCCCUGAAGUAUUUUUUCGGUGAUCGUUAAGACUAUGGGUUCUUUUCUCGUUUGCUAAAGACUGCCAGUUUGUGGAGAUAUGUCUCCAUUUCUUUUGGACUGUAUAUUUGUUUUUGCGUAUCCUAUUUUUUAUUUUCCUUUUUGAUUAUGCCAAAGGGGGAGAAUAAUUAGACCUUGCCAUAGAGCAAGGGGGAGCAUGCUGGAAAUCUACACAGGAGGCAUACAACAAGGGGGAGCAUGAAUCGAAUAGGGAAGUCAAAUUAAACUUGUAUUAAUCUUAAUUGUCAUUAUCAAAAAGGGGGAGAUUGUUAACUUAUGAUAUUAUGAAUAAUGACAGGCUGAAUUCACAUCGCAGGAAAUCAAGAGAAGAAACAAGAAGAUCACCAGCUUCACCAAAAGACUGAGUGACACGAGCAAACCAUGGAAAUAGAUUGACCAAAUCUAAUUGGAAGGAUUGCACCAAUCAAGUAAUAGAUUGGCUCACAAUCUGCAGCAACCAUGGAAAUGGAUCAACACACAAUCAAUCUAAAAGAUUGAUUCAAUCAGCCAUCAUAAGGAUCACACCAAUCAAGGAAUAAAUUGACUCACAAUCUGCAACAACCAUUUUAAUGGAUCAACACACAAUCAAUCUAAAAGUUUGAUUCAAUCAGCCAUUACUCCAAAAAGGAAAACAUCACCAGGCAAUCAAUCAGGACAACAAGCAAUUCACACUGAUUAUGGAACUAAUCAGGAAAAAUGACAGCUGCAAAAUAGAAGGCUCAAGACAGCAGGCAGGAUCAAAAGAAGAUCAGCAAAGGAUUCUACAUCAGCAUUUGUUUCAAGGCAGAUUAAAUCAAAGAUCUAAGAUUCUCAAUCAAGGAAACAUUACAAAUCCUUGAUUGAAGGAAACUCCCUUAGGUUUUCCUGUUAGAGCUAAAAUACCAUCACACUACUCACAUAUAAAAGAAGACUCAGACCAACAGUUGAAACUACGCACUUCACUUGAACUUAUAUUGUAAUCUUCUUUUAUCUUUCAUAAAACUUUGUACACACUUGAGUGAACAAUUGAAAAGAAAAGAAAAUGAAAGAUCUGAGUGUAGGUUAUACAGGUAGAGGUUGUGUCGAAAAAGAAGAUCUGAUUUGCAUAUCAGACGGGGAUCUUAAUUGUAACAUUCUAUAACACUCAAGUUCUCAACAAGCUUUUAAGGAAACCCUUGUAACCCAAGGGGACUGGACUAGGCACCACAUCGGUGAUUCGAACCAGCAUAAAACACUUUGUGUUAUUUACUUACUGCAAGUUAUUAUUACUGUUUAUUUAUUCUACUAACGUGCAGGUGAGUCGACUGGCCAUUACAAGAAGUUGACUGAAGGAAAUUUUAAUUCACCCCUCCCCCCACCUUCUUUACUUUCAAAACCAACUUAAUCAGUUUUAAAAUUAUCAUAACCAAGUCUAACCAAAUAUAAUAUAUAUUUAUCAGUUUCGGUUUGGUUUGGUUUGGUUAUUCGAUUAUUAACCAAAAUCAAACCAACUUAAUCGAUUUUAAGAUUAUCAGAACCAAACCAAAUCAAAUAUAAUAUACAUUUGUUGGUUUGGUUGUUAUCGGUUUCGGUUCGAUUCGAUUUGGUUCGGUUAUUAACCAUACACAAAAUAAAAGAAACAAUUCAUUCAAAAUGUUGAAAGAGUGACAACAAUAUCCGUUCAGAACAAAUAAUAGUUAGAAAGACUGACAUUAUAGAACUUUCUAUCACUGAAUUUACUACGAAUUAAACUUCAAAAUUCAGUAUUUUGGCCUAGAUUCAGUCCCACGGAAAAUUGUCAGACACUUAUAUAUAUGAAACCAAUAAGAUAAUUGUGCUCACCUUGUGCAUUUUUGCUUUCAUAAGUAGAUUAUAAAUAAAUUUUUGAUGAAAACAUAUAUAAGAUCUUUAAAUUAGUUUAUAAAAUCAAUAUGUUAUGUAUGUAGAAUAAUAAGAUAUAUGUAUAUAAUUUGUCGGGUCAGUUAUUUCUUCAAUUUUUUCUAAUAAAAUCAUAACCAAACUAAAUACUAUCGAUUUUAAUAAUAUAAAACCAAAUCAAACCAAACCCAAAUAAAAUCAAUUUAUUUAAUCGAUUUGAUUCAAUUUUUUGAUUUGAAUCAAUUUUAUCCAAAACGUGAACACCCCUAUCUAUAAGAGAACCAACAAAAUUCUAUGUCAAGAAGUAGGGAAGAAUGUGUGUAUUUACGGAUGACAUUCAAAUUUAAUUUGCUUAACUCAACUAAAUUUGUUCAAGUUUGAAUGAUUAUUGAUCUGGUCAUUUGUUAGCUCACUUAGCUCAAUCCAUUAUAUUAAAAACUAGGAGACUUGGCCGCGCUUCGCGCGGUUAAGAAAGAUCUCUUUAGAUUUACAAACUAAUCUUUUACUAUUUCAAAAAAUUAAAAAUAUUUUAAAAUAAUUAUAUAGUCUCCAAUUCAAAUAAAUUUGAUUUUAAUUUGUUUAACCUUUCAUUACCUAAAACUUAGUUGUUAGAAAAUAAAGUUCAUCCAAAAAAAAAAAAAAGAGAUUCCUUUAAAUUUUCAACAUCAUUAUUUGUGUUAUGGUGUAGUGACAUUCUUUUGCUUAAUUAAAAAAAAAUUGUAUCUUUAAAAGAAAAGCAUUUUGCACAUAAUCAUGAUAUAGUAAUAAUGGUGUUCAAUAGUUUCAUUAAAUUUCUACGAUAGUACAUUUUAUAAUUUUGAGAAAGUUGUAUAAAUAUUUAUUCGUUACAAAUGUUUAGAGGUUUUGCCUAUUUCAAGUUCUUACAUAAUUCAAAUAAAUUCUUAUAUUUAACUUCUUCUUUUUAAAAAAAAGUGAUAAUAUUUACAAUAUAAAUAUAAACGCUAAAAAUUUACAGUUUAACAGAAAAUAUGCAUACUUUUUUUAUUUGUAAGUAAACUAAAGUACACAUAUUUGUUAGCCUCCUAUGAAAGCUUAACAAUAAUAUUUGAGACUUUAUUCUUACAAUAAGAUGUACGAGCAGAAAUGAAAAAAAAUUAUUCAAAAAUAAAUCAAAACUAAUUGAUGGCAGCAAAUUAAUUAAAAAAUUACAGUUUAUAUAUUACAUCGUUAGUUAAUUAAAAUUUAAAAACACUUUUUGAAAUUCGAAUAAUCUGCAUAUUAUUCGGAGAUCUGCAAGAACAAAAAGAAAAAAAAUGAAGAAUUUGAAGUUAGCUAUAAGAUAAUAUAUGUUGAGUUUUCUGUAGAUACAACAAUAAUAUGUUAUGUUGAAUUUUGUGGAUAUAUAACAAUGAUUUAAGAAGACUCUUAACAGUAGAAGACAACUUAUGAUCGCCACAUACUCAUAUUUUUAGCACCAUCCAGGAACUAAUUCAUCAUUGCAUAUUCUUCUAGUUUAGUAUAUUCGUGGUAUGCAUAAAUUUGUAUGUAAGAAUUCAUUAAAAUUAUAAUAAAGUAUGAAAGUGAACUCAUGACUUAAAAAAUAUAAGAAAUUAGUGCUAAAUCAUUAAACGUUAAUUAUAUAAUAUUUAAAUCAUGGCUCCAGCUUAAUAUCAUGAUAUAUAUACCACUUGCUUUACCCCCACAAGCAUAAAAAAAAUAUUGGAUCUUCAAAAAUACAACCUAAAAAAAUAUCAAAAGUUAGUACUAAAAACUUUAAAUAUUAAAUACAUAAAAUUUAAAUUUUGAAUUCACCUAUAUCUCUUCAUAUCACACAACACUUGCUUUCACCACACAAAAACCCCAAAAAAAUAUUACCCACGCUAUUGUUUUGAAUCUAUAUGAAAAGUAUUGAAAUUUUCUUGAUCCUCCUUUGUAAAUCAUAAAGAAUCAUUCUAAUUUUAUAAUUACGAUAAUCAAUAAAAAAAAAGUCAUAAGAUAAAAGUCAUUUAGUAUUAGCAGAUAAUGAAAAAACUUAAAAACCAUACAAAUAAGACUAACAAAGAAAAACCUACAUAAAAAGCAACCUUGAUAGAUUGGGAGGGAUUAUAUAAAUCACACAAGCCCCAAUAAAAACUCCAAUUAAAAAAACCCAAAUCCUUUCCUUUUAUUUUUGAGAAUUCAUUUUUAUUUACCAUUAAAUAUUUUCUUCCACAAUCCACAAAGUCCCGUGCACUUUUAGAAAUGGACUUCUAUAAAGUGCAGUAAAAAAGGAUGUUCAAAGUGCAGUCAUUGACUAUUAAUUUAGGAGUUAUAAUUGUCCAGGGUUGUAAGGAAUAAUUAAAAUAAAAACAAUUAAACUUUUAUUUUAAAGAAAAUAAAUAAAUGAAAAAGUAAUAAUUGACACAUUCUAUAUAACAAUAAAAUGAAUAAAAAGAUACUUUUUAAUUACAAAUAAAAUUAUGAUACAAAAAUCAUUCUUAAGAUCCUACAAUAUAUUAAUAUUUAAAUUUCAAAAAAAAUAUUAAUUAAAAAAAGGUACCUGAUAAAUGCCAAUGAUUCACAUCAAACAUGAGACAAUUGAUAAAAAAAAUUUUAAAAAUUUCAUGAUAUACAUGAUAUCUAUAGCUCAAGAUUUAUAGGAGAAGAUGAAAAAGUGAGGAGUUAUAUAAAUUAAUUUUCAGAAGUUAAUGAAGGGACGUGGGGAAAGGAAAGGUUGGUACACGGUUACAACUUACAAUUAAAAUUUGCAUUUACAUGGAAAUGAGACUGUUACAAUUAAAAUUUGGAAAAGUAUCUUCCUCUUUACAAUUAAUUAGAAUCUAUUAAUUAUUACAGCCUUAAUUAAAAUCUAUUUACAUGGAAAAAUAGAGAGAAAAAAACCAAAAAUAGAUAAGUAGAUUUCCUGAUCAUAGAGGCAUGCCACAUCAGCUGAUUGAAGAUCCUCCUUUAUAUAUAUAUAUAUAUAUAUAUAUAGAUAGAUAGAUAUAUUAGGUUAAUAUAUAGCCCAAAUUGAUUGAUAAGAAAUUUUAUCAAAAAGAUAUUUAAUUUUGUUUAUUUGACAUGUUAUAUAUAUAACUAGAAAAAUAAUAAGUGGGAACUAUGCUUUGGUCGCCUUGACGAAGUCCGUACAAUCAACAAGUACUAAUUUGAUAAAAAACUUAUUUACAACUAAUUAUCAUCUCAAUAAAAUUAGUAGGCUAAAAUCAACUUUUAAUAAGAGGCCUCAUUCAUUUAAUUUGUAUUUAUUGUGUAUUGUAUAAUAUUUUUAAGUUUACAACAAAAAUCUGACAGUAAUAAUGUUGUAUAACUUACAUAAAUCCCAUAAUGUAAAGAGUAAAUUACAUCUUAUCCCUAUUUUUUUUUCUAAUUACAGUAAUCCCUUAAAAUUUGUACCUUCCGGAUACAUAAGUCACCAUCCGAAUACAUUAAUUCACCAUCCGAAUACACUAAUUCUAAUACAAGAAAAAUCUUUCUGUUGCGCUAAAAAAUGAAUAAAAUCUGAAAAUUAAUUAAAUCUCAUAAAUUACGCUUAUGUUUCUUCUUACUCUCAAUCAUAUAGAGGCAAAUCCUAAUAGAACGAAGAAAUUCAAAAUUUCAAAUUUCUCCCCUCGUUCAACGAAGAAACCUUUCAGAUAUGAUUCAAAAAAAAUUGUCAAAAUUUUGGAUAAGCGAGGUGAGUUUUGAAGGAUACAAAAGUGAUGAAAUUGUUGUUGGACAAACGAUAUCCUUUUGAAUCUUCAAGUUCAUCGAAGAUCCUUUCAAUUUUGAUUCAAGAUAAUCAAAAAAAAAUUGAGAUUCAAGAUUCUUUCUUCUCCAGUUCAGCGAAGAUCCUUUCAAUUUUGAUUCAAAAUUCUUCUCCUAGUUUAUUGAAGAUCCUUUCAAUUUUGAUUUAAAAUUGUUGAAAAAUUUGAGAAGAUACAUCAUGAAUAUCUUUGCUACUUAACAUUUACUAUUUAUGUAUCUUGUUUAAAUUGAUAAGUAUUGUAUUUAUACUAGAUACAUUAAAUAAAUAAUUAUUGCCUAUAAGAGGUUAGAUUUGAGAUCGAUACAUUAUUGUGUGGUAGUUGCUAUGUAAUUGAUACAUUUAGUAUAAAUUUAAAUUUACGUAUCAUAUCUAAAAAAUUAGUGCAUGAUACAUUACUAUUUAUGUAUCUCGUUUAAAUUGAUAAGUAUUGUAUUUAUACUAGAUACAUUAAAUAAGUAAUUGUUGUCCAUAAGAUGUUAGAUUUGAAAUCGAUACAUUACCGUGUGGCAGCUGCUAUGUAAUUGAUACAUUUAGUAUAAAUUCGAAUUUACAUAUCAUAUCUAAAAAAUUAGUGCAUGAUACAUUACUAUUUAUGUAUCUCGUUUAAAUUGAUAAGUAUUGUAUUGUUUGCCUUGAAAGAUAUUUAUAACUUACAUAAUGUAUCAUUUUGUAGUUGAUAAUAAUGUAUCUGGUACAAUAAGGUUGUGAAAUAAUGAUGUAUGUAAGCUGAAAUAAAGUGUAUCUAUAAAUGUAUCACAAUAAAUAAGAAUUAAGUUAUCAAUUAGAUACAUGAACAAACACAAUCCAUUAAAGAAAUUUGAUUAUGAAAAACACCAGAAAAAGAGGAAAAUAUUAGACUGUAUAAAAUUUUGGUGAAAUUGAAACUAAUAUUAUUAUGAGAAAAUGAGAAGAUUAAAUAAUAAUACAAUAAUCCUAAUCAGUUUCAAUGAAUGAUUAGUUGUUAGAGUCCAUAACCAACUCAAAUUAUGGAAGAUUUACAAAUAUUAUAUUUUUUUUUUAAUCAAACACCCGAGGUGAGUUUUAUUAACCAAAAAUAAAGAAACCAAAUACAAAUACCAAAUCCAACAGUGAUUUGGAAAUAAUAGAAAAACAAAACAACUACUAAACCAAAAAAAGAAAAAGAAGGAAAAAGACAAAAUAAAAAGAAAAGACGACAGAAAAGGCAAGAACUUCUUCAAAUAUUAUAUUAAUUAUUAACAAAUAAUAACAACUACUACUAUUUUUUUCCCUUCUAAUUUACGUUUUAGCGUAGAAAAUUUGAAGUUCACAUAGUUUAUUUUAUUAUAAAUUUUGGAGUAUUUUAAAAAAUAAGUAAAAAACUCAUAAAUAUCUUUUUAAAACUUUUUUGGCUAAAAAUAUCCUUAACCUACCGAAAAGAGAUUGAUUUUGAAUUUCAAACGUGUUUGAGAAAAUAACUAUUAAGAUUUUGUGACUAAAAAUAAGGAGAAAUUUGUGAAGUGAAAUAAGGAAGGGAUAAAUAUUGGUUUGAGAGUUAGGAUUUAUGUAUCCAGCGUUUGGGGAUUUGAGAGUAAAAUAAGGGGUUUUGGAAAAUUUUAGAACCGAUAGGAAAUAAUGAAAAUUAUGAAAAAAAAAGGUGUGUAUAUAGGUAAUUUAUCCAAUAAUGUAAUUAGGAUUAUUUCAAGUUAAUUAUAAGUUAGUCAUGUGUAUAUAAUACAUUACCUUAGAUAUUAUUGCAUAACAAGUUUUUAUCUACUAAUAUGAAGAUUUAAGUAGUUUAAUUUAAGGUCAAGCAAUUUUUACCACGGAAAAAGGGUCUAAAAUAUCCUUAAACUAUUGAAAAUGGUACAAAACUAUCCUUCAUCCACCUAUUGACUCCAAAAUACCCAUGUCAGACAUCUAUUGGUUCCCAAAUACCCCUACCAUCCAUCUUUGAGUCCAAUAUUGAUCACUUUUAUAAUGGAUUACCAUCUAUUGGAUAAAAUUUAAUUACUUAAAUUAAUUUACAAACUCAACCAUUACUAACUAUACCCAAUCCAAAUUAACUACUCCCGACCCAAAUUAACUACACCCGCCCCAAAUUACCUUACCCCACAGAUUAAAAAAAAUACACCCAUCAUUCCCAAUAUUUCACUUCAUUUUCCAACCUUCUUCCCCAAUAUAUUCGCCUACAAUCUUGAAAAACACUACCUAAAUACACACAUGUAUCACCAUAAGAAAUCACCAAAACACUCAUGAUUUUUUAUGGUGAUAUAUACAUGAGUGUAUUUACGUAGUAUUUUUUGACAUUGUAUGCGAAUUUAUUGGGGAAGUAAGGUUGGAAGAGAAAGUGAAAUAAAAGUGAAAUAUUAGGAAUAAAAGGUGUAUUUGUUUUAAUUGGUGGGGUAAAUGUAAUUUGGGCCGGAAGUAGUUAAUUUGAGCUAGGUGUAGUUAACUUGAGUUAAGUGUAGUCAAUUUGGGUCAGAUAAAAUUAGUAAUAGGUGAGUUUGUAAAUUAAUUUAAGCAAUUAAAUUGUAACCAAUAGAUGAUCAUCACGUAUUUAAAAAAAAUUAUUUAAAUGAUACAUGUUGUAAAAGUGGUCAAUAUUGGACCCAAAGGUGGAUGACAUGAUAUUUGAGAGCCAAUAGGUGGAUGAAGGAUAGUUUGGCACCCUUUCCAAUAGUUCGAGGAUAUUUUAAAAAUCUUUCUUUCCUUACUUUUUAAUAAAGAUUUUGUACUCUUUUCCUUGCAAAUCUUUUUGUAAGUAAAAAUAAACGUAUAAAUCAAUAUUAAUUUUUUGGGAGGCUUAAAACGAAAGUUUUACUAGUCUUCACUUUGAAUCGUACUUGUAUCACAUAACUCAAUAUGGUAUUAUCAUAUGUAUAAGAGGAUUUGGAAUUUGAAGUUUAUGAAAUUCAUAAAACGUUUUAGAUUAAUUUAUACAACAAAAAUGAGGCAAAAAUAUUUCUAAUAUAUAAAAAAUGACUGACAAAUAACGUUCUUCAACUUUUAUAUCUAAACAUACCCUCAACCUUUAAUUUUUGACUUAAGGUUACCCCUCAAACAAAUUUUGAAUUUGGUCAAAUUUUGCUCUUUAAAAUAGUAUGUGGCCUAUUAUGAUUUGUCUUGUUUUUUUUUUAAAUUUUGAAUUACAUAAAAUCUAUCCAUAAUUUGAACUCACCCCGCUCCUGACCCAUUUUUCUUUAAGCCCUUGAUCAUUCAUCCUCAUUAGAAUGUAUUUGGUGUUCCAAAUAAAAGUAUCUACUGUGAUUCACAUGUAUAUAGAGUAAAAUAACUAUGUCACUCGCCUUAGUGAAACAAUACGUAAUUAUUUCAAAUUAGUAAAUAUGAAAAAAAUGUUUGUAAAUUACUUCUUCAAAAUGAACAAUUUUAAAGAAAAUACAAAAAAUUAAAUUGGAUAGCACCGUAUAAAUGUUGUAAUUAUAUUAUCAUACAAUAUUGUUUCAUAAAUUGGAGAAAAAAUGUUGAGAGUAGAUGAUCAAUCCAUACAAGAAGCAUGAUACUUCAGAGUGCUCUCCAUGAAAUAUCUUCUCUAUAAAAGUAAAAUAAAAUUAUCCACAAAGACAAAGGACACAAAUUCAAAAUAAUAAUAUGAACAAAUACAUUGGAAACGAGAAUAAAAAGUAUGGCAUUGCAUUGUCAUAGUUAACAACAUAGUAUAAAUUUUAGUAACAAUCAAACAAACAUUAUAUAUACCUAAAUAAUAAUAUAAUAAGUAACAAUGAUCUGAACAACUUAUAAAAAAUACAGUAAACUUAAGUAAUAAUCAAAAUAAAUAUUAUAUUUCAAUAACAAACAUAAUAAAUAACAAUCAUCCGAAUAAUCUGUAAUUACAAGAUGAAGUAAGAGAAAAAAAUAUUUUCUUUUUUUCUUUCAAUUUGUUUAAAAGUAGAUGUUCAUUUUCACACUUUGGUUAAAACAACAGAGUACUUAAUAUUGUUUGGUUGUUUUGAGACGUGGAUCAAUGUCAAGUACAAUAGUUCUACAUAAACAAUCAACAAAGAUUUAUUUUUUUUGUUUAUCAUGUCAAAUCAAAGACAUCUAAUAAAGAAAUAAUAAAGAGAAACAUGUGCCAAAACUCUAAAAUAGACAAGAAUACGGUAUGCAAUCCCAAAAUUAGUAGCAAUAAAUUAUAAAUGUCUAAGUCCGAAGAGAUGGAUCAAAAGGUAGAGAAGAAUCAAUGGCAGCUUGGAAGAAGUAGCUCAGCCUUGAAUUCAAAUGUCACUUGUCUCACAAUUGAGAUUUUGAUGCAGCCGCCUGAAUAUAUCAUGUACUCAACAAAAAAAGAGCAAGUACAAUAUCAGUAUACAACCACAAUGUAUCGAUAGGAUUGUAACACCUUGGUCUUAGAAAGAGCUAAAUUUAGAAAGAGCUAAAUUGAGUUUGGUACAAGUUACUCUUCGACUGUGAGUUUUGGGUCAACUUCAAACUAUCAUAACUUUCAGCACAUGAUGAGUUAGGUGGCCCAUGAGAUAUCAAAUCAAAGGUCGUUGAGUCCUUUUUUCAACACCGCCAAGUUUGCUAAAUUCCAAGUUUGGAUGAAGGAUAUGCCCGUUUGAGUGCAACCUGUCUAGUUAAGAAAAUUCAUCCGUUUUAAGGAGGGGUGUUUCGAUCUUUUCCUUACCCACUAGGCCUACACGUUUUUUUCACCCUUUUUGGGGUCUAAACUGAUUGGAAUCCGUUUUAGUCAUUCCAAAAGAGCUUAGUUUUUUUUUUUUGAGAAGUUCAAGAGGAGAAAAAGAAGAACGUUCAAGAUUCUUGCAAGUUUUGAGGAUUUUUGCCAAGAAUUAAUUUUUUCGAGAUAUGUAAGCUCUCAUAGUAUUGUGUUUGUUCAUGUAACACCUCAAAAUUUUUUGAGCUAAAAUUCAAACCAUUCUUUAUUGUGACUAAGAUUUUAUCGAGAAAUUUAAAUUAAUAACUUUUUCAAAUUUAAUUUUCACUUUUCCUAUAGUUCAAGGUAAUUUUAGCCAUUUCCCCUAAAUUUUAUAGGAAGAAGGCAGCAAUUGUAGCCAUUAAUAAAAAUUGAAAAAAAAAGGGACUAUACACAUAUAAAACCGAUGUGACAUUUUUUUAAUCUAUCAAAGAGAAGAAUUGAGAUCACUUAUCUUAUUACAUGAGAAAGUUGCCGGGCGAAAGUAUUUUUAAGGUUGCUAAUAGUUUGUGAAUAAAAUUAAUAAUUUUUUUGAAUUUGAAUUUCACUUUUUACCAUUAACAUUUAUUAAUAGUGAGAUGAAAAAUCGAUAGUGAUGAAAAGACAAAGGUGUCCUUCCAUCCUUUCUUUCUCAACUUCCUCUUUCUCCCCUCUGAAAAUUCCCAUUUUGCUUCUUCUGACUAGGGUUUUGGUAUCUCUCUUUCGAUAUUCUCCCGUUCAUCGGAUAUAUAUGGUCGGAAUGAGACUCCUUCCUGAAGAUUCCGACGUCGCGCCGGCGCGAACAUUGGCAGCAACUGACUUGAUCUCCGACGACGAUCGAUCAGUAGCGGCGGACUCGUGGUCGAUAAAGAGCGAAUACGGAAGUACACUUGAUGAUGAACAACGUCAUGCUGAUGCUACUGAAGCUCUCGCCGCUGUCAAUAACCGUGCAGCCUCCGAUUACAGGUUUUGUCCCCUCUAGAUGCAAAAUUUUAGGAGCUAAUUCGUUAAAAAAUAAAUUAUGCUUGAUAGAUAAGUAAUUAAGUCUGAACUUCAUAGAAAUAUUAUUUAAGAACUAUUUGAUGCUGGAAAUGAUGCUAUUGAAACUGCAUUAUAAAGUUAAACUUGAAUAAAGUGGAAGCUGACAGUGUAAUAUGAGUAUUUUAUGGGUUGUACCAGGUUAGUCACAGGGGCUUAGCCAACGCAUACUGAACGGGUACUAAUUAAGCCGGUUAGUGACUAGUUAAAACACCGGGAGUGGUCUGAUCCCCUGUUUGAUCAGACCUCUCCGAGAAAGAUAAAAAGCAAACUCUCAUAGUGCGGAACCCAGCUCCACCAAUUUCUUCGCAAGUUAGGUGAGGUACUUCUUUUGGUUUGAUUAGGGGGUCGCCCCAGCAGAUGCCAUUAACUUUGGCGCGAAUUUGUAUUUGUGUUCAAAAUUCUAUUAAUAUCUAUAAAUAAUUUAUGUAGAAUCCAUCCAGUAAGUUGUCUUUUCUAAAAUUUAGAACCCAUAAACUCAAAAUUCUAGCUUCACCUCCGAUUAGUCGUCAGCUUUUGCAGGUAACGAAUUCUUGUUUAUUAUGGUUAUUGACAUUAAAGUAAUCUGAUUGUGUAGAAAUUGUUUACCCAGUGUCAGUGUUUUGUGGGACUACAUGCUGUUGUUGUCGGUGUAUAAAAACUAAAUCGUUUCAUUUUGCACUGGGCUAGACAAUUUUAUUUGGAGCUAAUUAAUAAUGGAAAUGAUGCUGAAUAAUGCUGUUGGGGUUGCAUUGUAAGGUAAAUCAUGAAUAAAGCAGUAGCUGAAACUGCAUGUUUACGGGUUCCACCAUUAAUAAAAAUGCUUCAGAUCAUUGAUUAGGAACAUCUUCCUAAAAAAUUGCCAAGUGAUAUUGCUCUUAUGUUGAUUUCUCAAGCUGUAAAUUCCAACUGCUAAAGCUUUAAUAAGCAAAUAUCUGAUUUUUCAUCUGUGUGUACGAACAGUUCUGACAAGGAGGAGCAAGAUGCUGAAGGAGUGUCUUCAAUGCUUGGUUUCCAGAGCUAUUGGGAUUCUGCGUAUGCUGAUGAAUUGGCAAAUUAUCGCGAGCAUGGUCAUGCUGGUGAAGUUUGGUAAGAAUUAGCUGGCCAAAAGAAAGCAAUGUGUUUCCUUUUCAUCCAUCCAGUAAGAUAUCUUUUACUUUUUUGUGAUCAUUGUGGAUCAAACGUUCAACUUGUAGUUACUUAAAACUCGUUGAAGCAUAUGGGUGAUAGCAUGUAGCAAUAAAUUCUUUUUUUCCAGAUUACCUGAAGAGGGUAAUCAACUAAGAAAAAAGUAAUCUACAUUUACAUUUGUGUCUUUGUGGACAACUUAUUAAUGAGGUCCUUUGGUUGGUUAUCUUGAGUAACAGAUCUGAUUAUAUUAGCAGCCUUGCUGGAAAAAGGGUCUGGCUUCAGCUCUGUCAUUUUUACAAAGAUUUGGUUCAGCUCAGGAUAUAUUUUGUUCGGUUAUAGAUAUGGAAGACAAUUUUUGGGCUUUCUUUCCAUCUUUUACAAAGAUUACCAUUCCCAACCCCUAAAAGAUAACCUGAAAGAGGAAGUGGUGAUGGGAUAGUGAUUCUAACAUUGGAUUAUUAUGUUCCUAAUAAAUGAUAAUGAUAAACAAAACAUUCAUGAAUGAUUUUAAUCUAUUAUUUUCCCUAUCUUUCUAUAGGUUUGGUGCUGAUGUUAUGGAAAUUGUUGCUUCAUGGACCCGAGGUUUGUGCACUGGCAUUUGUCAAAAUCACUUGUCAAAUCAUGUAGGUGAUGGCGAGCAAGUUGGGGUACAUGAGAAGGACUUGGCUGAUUGGAGUGUGCUUGAUAUUGGGACCGGCAACGGUCUGCUUCUUCAAGAGUUCGCUAAACAGGGGUAAAGUUGAUUUCCUCCUAGCUAUUACUGUAUGCUACCCAUUCCCUCACUCCGUCAUUCUAUAACUGCUAUAGGAGCUUUUCUGCGAACUAUUUGGCGCAAUCGCUACAAAAUCUUGAAAGUUCCAUAAUGCUGCGUUGGAAAUUUGCAGUUUGUGUAAUUGUUAAGAUAGUAAACUGUGAUCAGUCAAGGUCACAGUUGUACAUGAAAAGCAUAUGGCUUUAGAGAAGAAGUGAAGUGCACAUUUGUGUUUCUGCAUCUUCUAUAUACUCCCUCGAAUCCAAAAUAAUUGAUUUGUUAGCCUCUAAAAGUUGGUCUAAAAUAAUUGAUGUUUCACAAAACCAAGAAGUAUUUAACUCCUUUUCUCAAUUUUUCCCUUGAUACAUUCCUAAUUCCCAUGAUAAUUAUGUCAACCUAAAAAAAAAUCAUAACUAAGGGUAUUUAGUCAAACCCCCAUUUCUAGGAGUAAGUGAAUUCCUUAAUCUCUGUGUCCAAGCCUAAAAUAUCAAUUAUUUUGGAUCGGAGGGGGUAUUUAUUUUUAUUUUCAUUUUGAAAAUGCUAAUCUAUGCGACAACUUUUGUUUUUAUCAGUUACCCUGCUUGAUGGUUAGUAUUUCCAUCAAAAAUCGUAUAUUAAGGUCUCACGGGCAGGAAUAGAUGAUCUAUUCUAGGGUGGGAGGUAGCAGGUACCCGGUAGAAUAGUCGAGGUGUGUUGAAAGUUGGACCAGACUCCUGUUAUAAAAUAAUAAUUAAGUGAAUAAAAUAUCCGUUCUAAGAAAUGUCAGAUGUAAAACAAUUAACAUUUAGAGCACAGAAAAUUUAAUUCAGAAAGCAUAUUUCAAAAAGAAAUAAGCAUACUGAUGAAUGAUGAGAUAACAUAUGCAGAUCUUCCUUUGAGUUACUUUUGAGUCCUUGGUUGCAUAUAUUUUGGGCUAUUUUCGUCUUUCCUGUCCAUUUAUCCAUCAUUUAUCCAUCCUUUCCUUCUUGUUUUGGGCUAAUCCUGAUAUGCUGUAGUUCAGGAGCUCUUUCAUCUUGCAUGCAUGCACAUUCUUAUUCUGCAUUUUGACUUGUUCAUAGUAUCAUUUACUUUUGAGGUGGUGGAUAGUUAUACAUAUUCAUGUUGCUUCAAAGAGUAGACACCUAUCUUCAUGUUUAGGCAAGAUGAUGUAUGCAUAUCUACCCCCACACCCCACCCAAAGGGAAAAAAAGGUCUACUUGAGAAGCUUUUACAGUGAUUGAUUUAAUGGUAGUUAAGGCAUGUGUAACUCCAGUGGUUCUAUAAUGAAUUCUAAAUCAAGUUCAUCAUAAUAGCAAUUCACUGCUUCCAUCUUAAAUAUUUUAUGACCUUUUUUUGUUUAAUUUCUUGUGUCAUGAAAUGUUUGAUCUAAUUUUUAAUUCCUCAUCCCGUUAGUGGUAAAAUUCUCAUUGUAUUUGGGGUUGACCUAGCAAUCUUGAUUGCAAGUUGAGAAGCCUCAACUAUAAAGAUUGGUUGAUUUCUUUUCUGCUUUGUCUAUAUAAUCUCGAAAAUAUUUGAAAUAGGGAAACCAAAAAUUAGAAAGGAAGAGAUGAACUACCUUGAUGGCUACUUUAUGUUUACCAUGAAAGUGCAUCUAGUAGUUCAAAUUCACAUGUCCACCCCCCGGUUUGGGCGUGGGGGAUAGAAGUUGUUGGUGUCUAAGAGAUCUUAGUUGUUCAAUUAUGUAAGGAGAGUGCUGUUUUCUAGUUACAGUUGCACAUAUUUUUCUUUGAAAAUGCUGAGGUAUCUUGAUUUAAGAAACACUCGUAAAUGCUUCCUAGUGCACCUGUUUAUUUUAAGUCUGAACUUUCAAAUGCAUUUGUUGCUUUGUUAAACAUACAUCUGAAGGUUAGAUUCUUAUUAUCGUUUAUUUAUUGUGGAGUUAGGUUUUCAGAUCUCACCGGAACUGACUAUAGUGAAGGAGCAAUAGACCUUGCGAGAAGGCUUGCGGAUCGUGAUAGUUUCACCAAUAUCAAGUUCUUGGUAAAACUGAACUUUAUCUCUGAAUGUGAACAGUUACUUAAGUGUACAUAGAGCUGUUGCAAUCCAGUAUAUGAAAAAACAAAUAAAAGCAAAAAACAGUAGUCUCUACCUUGCUUUUGUAGUUUCAUGUUACUUCUAAUUGCUCUUCUUGUUCUCCUACAUGCUAAGUGGUGAUCUUGUUCUCCUACAUGCUAAGUGGUGAUCCCUAUUUAGUACAUUGUUGGUUAUAAUUGUGUUUCUGCAUGUGCAAUUACUUCUAAAUGAAAAUGACUUAAAUUUUGAUGUUACUUUGUAAUCUGGAAUGGUAAAGUUGCUGCCAUGUGACCAGGUGGUCACGGGAUCAAGCCUUGGAAUUGCCUCUGGCAGAAAUGCAAGGAAAGGCUGCAUACAAUAGGCCCUUCCCCAGACCCUGCGCAUAACGGGGAGCUUUAGUGCACCUGGAUGCCCACUUUGUAAUCUGGAUAUUCCCAUAAAAUACUGUGUACACGAAAGAACUUUGUUCAAGUCUAUAGUGGCAAUAGAAUGGGAUAUGGUGCUAAAUGUAAUACGUCUACUGAAUUCUGCAAUAGAGAACAUAACUUGUCCUACCAGUUUACUCUAUCUUUAUCAUUGAUUUCAUGUACUUGCUAUGUGCGGUUUACCUAUCUUGUGUUCUUUAGUUGCUAGAAAAUGAUUAUUCUCAAACAACUUUUGAUUGGUGUCAAGGUUGAUGACAUUCUUGAAACAAAAUUGGAUACAACGUUUCGGCUUGUUUUGGACAAGGGGACCUUAGAUGCCAUUGGACUGCAUCCUGAUGGUCCUAUCAAAAGGUAGGUCUGUUGUAUGUUAACAUUUUUGUCUUUUUGUAUUAUGCAAGUUAUGUUAAUAUGUUUAUGUUUAUCUUUUUAUAUACAACUGCAAUUACUUAUAGCAACUCCAAUCAUAUUUCACGGUAAAUAUUGUCGCCUUUAUCGGUAGUGCCUUCUCUCAUAUGACACAUUUCUUGUGGCCAUUUUAGGAUUAUGUACUGGGAUGCUGUCUCAAGGAUUGUUGCUCCUGGUGGAUUAUUGGUGAGUACUCCAGCCCCUGUCCUCCUCUAAUUAUUAAAAUGGUCGUGAAGCUUACUAAUUAGAAGUUUGUCGGUGUUCCUCCAAAUGAGAAAAAGAGAGAUCCAGAGAAAUCUCUACUAGCACUAUAUUGAAACUGUGAAAUAGGAGUUAUAUUCCUUUCGCGAAUUCUUGUCCUUCCCUAGAAUAGUCUCUAUAUUCCGUGGUGUCUCUUAUUAUUUGACUCUGGACUUGUCCUCUAAAUUUUUGUAUACAAUUUAUUUAUUUAUUUGCUUCAUGUUCUCAAAGUAAAUUUAUCUUCCACUUGCCUGAACGGUCACUAUUGUAGGUCAUUACAUCAUGUAAUAGUACGAAAGAUGAACUGGUAGAAGAAGUGGAGACUCUCAAUCAAAGAAAAAAUGCUGUUGGAAACCAAGAGGCCUCUUCAGAUCCCCCUCCAUUCCGUUACCUUGACCAUGUUCGUACAUACCCUACGUUCACAUUUGGAGGAUCAGUAGGCUCACGUGUAGCCACCGUAGCAUUCAUGAGGAACUGAAUCAAUUAUCCCCUGCAUUAUUUUCGGUUUAUUGACACUCUUGUUGCUCCUAUAACUGUGCGUGUAUGUAUGAACGACUUUGCAUCCGUGGAAACGCUUGUGGAAACUCAGUUUAUGGAUUUAUGCAAUGUGGGAGAACUUGAUGUAGUUUCUGUACAGGUUUCUCAGUAUUUUGAUUUUUGCAAGGUGGGACUAGUUGAUAUAUAGUUUCAAUAGAGGCUAAAGUUUCUCAUCCCUGCCAACAAGUGAUGUGGUGGAGUAGUAAAUAUUCUUUCAUCAUUAACUAAUGAUUUCGGAUUCAAAUCUCUUUGAAUAUGGAGUCGCUUUUGGUAGGGAGAAUUUUACUAUUUAUGUGGGACUUCUCUGAAUCUGGAUUUGGUCGGGUCUCAAUGUGGAUAUCGAAUAAAAAGAAAAUGCUUCUCAACUUCCCCAAAGAAGAGGAGAGUAUCAGUCAGCUGCAAACAUAGCUUUCAGCUUUCCCCAGACUGGAUUAUGGGAGAGGGUGGUGCGGGUGUACAUAGUCUUAUCCCUAUUUUGUGAAAUACAGAAAUUAUUUUUAAUAAAUACUUGACUGGAGUAAACAUAUAAAAAAAUAAGUUUGUAAAAUAAAUACAUACUGAAAAAGUCGUGUUAAAAACAAUUAUGAGAAAAACAAGUAAUAACAUAAUAACGGAAGUGAAGGAAAAAACAUCUACUAAUAAGACAACUUAACAAUACUCGAGUAGGAUUAGAAUAUUUACCUAACACAUUGAUAUUUGAAUCAAUGGUUUAGCACCUAACGAAUCAUUGAUUUGUUGAGAUUUAUGAUUAGAGAGAGAAAAAAAAUACAUUAACAAUUAAUUAGAGAUUAAAUAUGUUUAAUAGAAAAUUAGAUUCAUUGUAUAAUAAUUUUUCAUUACUACUAUUUACUGCAUAGAUAGUGUUUUAAGCUAUCUUGGUAACAAAAUGGUCAAUUUAUGCAACUUUUUUAAAAAAUAAACGGCGAUGUAGGCAAAACUUUAUGGCUGUAAAAAUGAAUUUGCAAAAGGUUAUAAUUGAGUAGAAUGAACUUACAAGAGCUUAAUAUGACCUUUGAAGUUCAAGUUGCACAUGUUAUAUUAUCCGGGGAAAAGACCUGAUAUAUCUAUCAAAUUUGUUAUUUAGAGCUGAUAUAUCAUUCGUUAUAAAAGUGACUUAUAUAUAUCCUUAUUGUUACACAAAUGACCUAUAUAUACCGUUUUCCUCUAACGAAAGUAAAAAAAAAGUUUUUAAAUUAAUUUUUAUUAAAAAAAAAAGAGAAGAUAAUCCAUGUAGGGGUAUAUUUGAUCCUUCUCACAUGGUUUUUACUUUUGACUAUUUUUAUUCAUCGAUUAAUUUGAAUUUAUUAUUUUAAUGGUCAUAUUUAUUUAUUUUUCACUUAAUUUCUUGUAAAAUUUAUUAUAGACGCCCCUAUACUUUUUUACACAUAUAAAAACUAUAUUACAAUAUAGCCGUAAAAAAUUAAUUUUAACUUUAUUAACUUUUUAAUCUUUAUCCACUCACAUUUCUUUCUUUUUAUUUCUCUUAUUUUUGCACUAAAGUAUGCAAGAAAAAAAAAACUCAAAGAAAUCAAAAAAUAAUUUAUGUGUGAAAAAGAUUAAAUAUAUGAUUUUUAAAAAAUUAGAAGUUAUUUUUGUCACUUUUGUAAUGGUAGGGGUAUAUCUGAGCCACUUUUGUAACAAUAGAGAUAUAUAUGAGCCUUUUUUGUAACGGUAAAAGUAUAUGUGAGCCGCUUUUAUAACGAAUAUAUGUUAGCUUUAAAUAACAAAGUUAAGAGGUAUACCAGACCCUUUUUCCUAUUAUUAAUCUUGAUGUGUACUACAGUUCUAAUAAUAGAUUAAUAUGAUAACGUGCACAGAUGAAAAAUCAUAAUGCUAAAACAUGUUACUAUUUAAUAAAAUAUACGGUGAGUAAAACAAGUGAAAAUUCAAAACCUCAAUCGAGUUGUAACUUUUUAUCUAAGAGCUUUUGGGAUUAUCUGCGGAGAUUAGGAAUUAUAAUUAAAUUUAAAUAUUUUUUUAAAGAAAUGUAUAAUUAAUUUUUUAUCUGUUAAUAGUAAUAUAGCAAAACAACCCACGAAUAUGGAUAAUAUAUGUAAAGUUUGUGAUCUUGAACAUGAAUAUAUAGAACAUAUAUUAUUCAAAUAUUCUCGAUCUUUACUUAUGUGGAAACAAUAUCCAAUAAAUUUUGUCUGAUAUUAGAAAUAUUAUUCACCUUUUUUGUGGUUAAUUUUACUUGUUCUUUAAUACUAUUUCUUUCCUAAAUCUGUAAAAUUAUUAAAUUUGAGCUUAAUAUUAUUUGACAAAUUAAAAAAGGUAUAGAAAUGCUUGAGUAUUUAAUAAGGAAAAGUUAAAAUUAUGAGAUAUUGUUUCUAAAAUCUGUCUAUUGAGUAUGAAGAACCUAAAAAUCACUAAUUAAAAAAGAGAAAAUACAUAAAUCCCCCUUGAACGUGGCAGUAAAAUUUACUUUAGCACUUUAACUCUACGGGUAAUCAUUUACCCCCUAAUUUCUUUUCAAGUGAAUUUAAAUACACCCAAAUAGCUGACGUGACGAGUUAAAAAAAUUAUACAGCACGUAAAUAUCAAAAACUAAAGAGAAAAAAAAUAAAUGGGUCCUAAUAUUUUUCUUUUUAGCCAAUAAAUUUCUUUCCUUCAUCUUCCUCACACCCUACCACCCCAGCCCAUAGCACCACCAUCCCCACCCUACUCCUUCAUCUUCCUUACACCUCACCCACUUGCACCACCUCUUUCUUCUUCUUUAAAACUCCCAUCCCGACCCUAUUUCUCCUCUUCGAACCCUCACCCCCACCAUUUGUCUUUUUCUUCAGAUCUCGCUGCCUCAAUCAUCACCUGCCUCGCCCUUAUCUUCUUUUUCUUCGUUGAGUUUUCCAUCUUCUUUCUCCUUCUUUGAAAUGCCCCACCCCCAUUUCAUUUCGAUUAAUCAAAGGGUGUGAUGAAUAGGAAAACAAAAUGGAAAAAUCAACAAUUUGUUCUUGCUUCAAAUGGUAGUCUUUGAAUGUGAUGAACUUGAAACUUUUUCUAAUGAAAAAUUUGUAAUUUUUUCAUCUCAAAUUAAUUUUUCAGUUGUUAUUAUUCAUUUGUUUUGAUAAUAUUUCUCAAAAAUUGAAUGUGUUUUUGUGAGAAUAGUUUUGAGAUCUUCGAUCACUAUUUCAAUUGUGACUUGAGUUUAUUCAAUUGCAAUCUUGACUGAGUUGAGGAACAAGCGAGCUCAUUUUUUGAGAUUUUUUUACUUUCAAAAUUAUGAAUAAAUAAGAAGAAACAAAAAAAGAAUAAAAAAAAUUAAAAAUUAAAUAAUGUUCACUAUGACGUUGAUAUGGUAAUGAUGUGGCGCUCAUAUAUCAAUGAUAUGGCGUGUGUGGAUUGCACUAUCCAUUGUGAGACUGAUAUUAUAAUUUUAGAAUGAUAUUAAAUUCACUUGAAAAGGUAUUAGGGGGUAAAUAAUUAUCAUAAAGUUAAAGUGCUAAAGUAAGUCUUGCUCUUCAAUUAGAAAUCAUCAUGUGCUUAAACUAACAAAUCGGAGUAUUUAAUUAGAGAAAAUACAUAAAAUUCUUUUUACAUUAGUACCUAUUUUAAAAAGGCAAAAUGGUCUGGUGAAUCCUAAUACUUGUAUGCAUUUGUAUUGUGAACCAUUCUACUUACAUCUUUGUCAUCUGGACCCAUGAACCCAUCUAAACUCAACCUGUUGAACCCUUUCAACUCAUCGUGACUCUCAAUCACGCUGAUGUCACACUCCAUGUCAGAUAAAAUUUGCCACAUCAUUUUUUAUUUUUAUAAUAAUUUCUUUUUUAGACAAAAGAAAAAUCAUAAAGUUUUGAUGCAAUUUUGACAAAUUAAAUUUCAAUUUAUUAUUCUUUUAAAUUAAAAUUUUGUGUCUCCUCACAUCAUCUUCCAUUUUCACCAGUCUCCAUCUUCAUCGCACACCCUCACCAUUUUUCUUUCCUCAUUCUCCAACCUCCACAAAUCCAGAAACCCUAAGCCGCCGCACCAGCUCCUCGCCACUCACCAUCACCGACCGCUGUGAACCAUUGCCGAUCGUUGCGAACCACUAGGACCCCUAUGCUCUCCAUCCUCUCCGGCAUAUCAAAAGGCCAAGAAACUCCUCACUGCCUCCAGCGUAACAACAUGCUAGGAGGCUCAUCGCUGCCUCUGGUGUACUAGACCACCUAAAGAAGAUGGAAGAAAGAAAAAAAAAGGGUCGGGCAAGGAUGGGAUGGUUGAAAAAGUAGGUGGAUUGGUUGAAGAAGAAUGAUUUUUUUUUCUUUUCUAAGUUUAUUAUUUUAUUCUCUUAUAAUUUAAAUAUUUUUUUAAAUUUAAAUAUGGUGUUCACUUGCCUUAAUAGGCGUGUAGCCUCACUCUCUUGCCAACUCAACCAUUUUAAUGCCACAUAAGCAUGGUCAAUGAUCAGAGGAAUUUGAUAUAUUGUGUUUUAUUGAGUGUAAGGGUUCAGAUGACAAAGAGGUAAGUAGAAGGGUCUAUAAUACAAAUUGGUACAAGUACAGGGGUCCACCAAACUAUUUUAUCUUUUAAAAAGAUAUUUAAGUUUUGCGGGGUAUUAUGAACCCCUGAAUGAUGUUAUUUGAUAUUAUCAUUUUUAGCCACUGGCUGAGAAAGUGUAGCUCACUCUCACUCUCUCCAUGAGAGAGAUAGAUGAACCAAAAUAUUUUCUAUUUGCUUUUCUUUUUUUGGUUGUACUUUAUUGUUUUUUCUCUUUUUUUUUUUGUCAAUUUUUAUUUUCUAUUCAAUUCUUUGUUUUUCUGGUCUUCUACAACGGCAUUGAUAAGUGAUUUUUGUCAUUGUAUUUGAUUUUUUAAAUAUGAAUGAUGAAACGGCAAUAAAAAUGACAAGAAAAAUAAAAAAAGAGAUAAUUACUAUUAACCCCCAUUUUAUUCGAUGAAAAAAAAACAUUUUUAGAUGACAAAGAGAUGUAUUUUGGAUUGUGUUAAUAAUGAAUUUCAUCGGUGAUGUUUAAUUUUUCAAUAGAGAUGAUGAAAAGAUAAUAAAAAGUCAAAGGAAAACAUGAAGAGGGAGAUAGUCACCGGUAAUUACCAUUUUAUUCGGUGAAAAAAAAAGUUUUUUGAUGACAAAAUAUGAUAUUUUCCCUCUACUUCUUUGGUCUACUUCACUAUCUUUUUUUUAUCUUUAGUAUUAAUAUAUUGACGUGAUCUUGAAAUAAUGAGAAUUAAAUUUUGUAACAACGACACUCGUCUUGUGUUAAGAAAUUAUAUUGACUCUUUCUUAAUCCUCGAGGGGGAGGGUUUUGGAUUAUUUUUUUUAUAUAUAAAAAGUUAUUCUUUUCUCUUUUUAUUUUUAAAAUUUAAGAUAUUUUAACACGUGACAAUCAAGGAUUGGUGCGUGAGUCGGCGUGACAUAACUUAAUUUCUUAUAAGUGGCGUUGAUGGAAAAAUAAGACAAUAGUCAUUUCUUAAAAGUAACAUAACUUCAUUUCUUGAAUCCAGUGGUCUUGAUCUUGAUCACUUGAAUUCUUGAACUUGUUGUAGUUUAUAGAGAAAUCUGCGUCUUUUGAUCCAUGAGUUUUCUCUAACUUCUUGUUCGAAUUCUUGGUUCCUUUUCUGAAUUAUGAAGACCUCUUUUUAUAGUUUUAAAAUAGAUGAGUUGUGAUGGAAACAAGAUUCCCUUCGGCUAAUCAGAUUUAACUGACAUGACAUAUGAGCUUUAUGGAGCGAAUUUUAAUUAAUUUCAUAUUUAUUGGAUAUAAAUAACUAACUCAAUUAUAUUAAUCCGUAAUAAUUAUUCGGACUAAUAUAUUCAUGAAUUUAAUAUAAUCCAAAUCAUUUUAUAAAUUUAUAUUUGAUAAAUUUUAAAUGAUUACAGAACAUAUUAGAAUUUUAUAAUUAACGGCUUAUUGGUGUGGGGGCGAAUUAUUUAAUUUCCUUAUCAGAUAAACCGUUAACCCGUUAAAGAAUUGCCAUACUUACUCUUUUAUAUUAGAUUUAUUAGCCUCAUUUAAAAUGUUGUCAUAAUAUUAUUAUAUAUUGGUAGUCCUAAAGCCAUAAAGUCAAAAACUCAAAAACCUAUUUACUUUUAUAUUGUAUUAACUAUUAUAUUACUAUUAAUUUAUAUUUUUUUUGCAAUAUAGAAGAAUUUUAUAAUUUAACGGCAUUUAAAAUAGUGAAAAGUGUCCUUUUUUUAUAGGUGAGUUCAUGAAAAAGAAGAAGCAAAUGUUAGCCAAUACACCAUCCGAUGAUUGCUAAUCCGAUAUCAAAUCAAUCGAUAUUUUAUUAGUUGACUAGCAGAUUAGUAAAUUUAAAAUUCAAUAUUUGAUAAAUCAAAUCACUAAGCGAAAUUACCGCCCUAUAUGCAACCCCUACUUUGGAUACUUUUGAAAAACUGCUUUGUCCAUGGAUCCCUAAUCAAUUAUGUUGGGAUAGCGCCACUUCUAAAGUGAUUACUAAUAGGAAGAUUUUUGUACGUGUUAUCGAUAAUGGAUGAAAAAAUGUGAAAAUAUUAUUCCACGCUAAAUAUAUUUGGAUAUGAUUCAAAACGAAUUACUACUUCAUGCGAGAUAUAAGUGAUGUAUGAAGACAUUUGAACACUAUCAAACAUGUUUGAUCGCAUCGAUUUUUUAUACAUUUCUAGAUGUUUGAAUAAAAUAGCUUAUAAUUUAACUAAAUUUUCUAUUUCUUUACUAAGAGAUAUUUCAUCGGAGACUUUUUUUCAAGUUGAAUUAUACAUAAUGCUAACAGUUUGUUUGGAUAGUUGUUAGUUGUUAUUUAUUAUACUGUGUUGUUAGUUUAAAUGCGCUAUUUAUUUCAAUUCUUAUUUAAAUUAUAUCGUAUCACUAUAUUCAUAGUUAGUUAAAAAUGAAAAAUCUCAUUUUAGGUAAGGAGCGAUUUGGUUUGAUCGCAUUGUUAUCUUUAUUUUUUUUCUUUAUUUUGUCUGUACUUAUUAUUUCAUAAUUCUAAUUUUAUUCUUUACCUUAUCUUUUAUUUAUAGUAACUCUACUUUGUAUCUCUACAAUUCUAUUCUUACAUGUUUAAAAUUCAAAUAUUCUUGAUGCGUUAGAUUGCAUAAUAAUAAAAAAUAAUAUAAUCAUUCAAACAUUCUAUUAGUUAAAAUAUACGAUAUAUUAAAAAAAUACUAGGCAAUACAAAGUCGAUGAAAAAAAGGAAAAAUCGUUACCGUAACGAAAUCAAUUUUUAGACCAAAUCAAAAACAAAAUAAAAUUUUGUAGCCUAUAUAAAUGAAUCUUCUCGGCCGCCUCUCCUCAUCCUUUAAACCCUAAUUUACAAUUCCCACCAAUCGUUUUUCCUCCCUCUCUCCCUCAUCCAGUUCUCGAUUGCUCUGCUUUGUUUCAUUGGUAAGAUUUUCGAUUAUUGAUUUUUCAUCGUUAAACUGCAUGAUUCUACUUAGAUCUUAGUUUUUUUUAGCCUUUUAAUCGAUUGCGUUAUUGAAUUGAUGUUCAUUGCGUGGCUAUUGAUUAUGUUGUGUAACUGCAGCUAGGUUUUUGAUUGCUUUUUUUCUCUCCUAAUUAUUCAUGUAAAACUGUGUAGUUCUAUUUAGAUCUUAUUUUUUGCCUUUUUAAUCGAUCGCGUUAUUGAAGUUGUUGAAUUGAUGUUCAUUGCGUGGGUUUUUGAUUGAUUUUUCUUCUAAUUAUUGACGUAUGUUUUAAAAUUUUUCAUCGUUAAACUGGAUAGUUCUACUUAGAUCUUAUUUUUAGCUUUUUCAAUUGAUUGAGUAAUUGAAGUUGUUGAAUGGAUGUCCAUUGCAUGUUUAUUGAUUCUGUUGUGAAAGUGCAGCUAGGUUUCCGAUUGCAAGUGCUGCUAGGUUUUUUGAUUGCUUUUCUCCUAAUUAUUCACUUUUUUUUUAAAAAAAAAAAUCAUCUUCAAACUUUUUAGUUUUACUUAGAUCUUAAUUUUAGCUUUUUAAUUGAUUGCGUAAUUGAAGUUGUUGAAUGAUUUGUUUCAUUGCAUGGUUAUUUAUUCUGGUUAUUUAUUCUGUUGUGCAAGUGCAGCUAGGUUUUCUGAUUGCUUUUUCGUCUAAUUAUUCACUUAUUUUCUUAAAAAAAUUCAUCGUUAAACUGUAUAAUUCUACUUGGAUCUUAUUUUUAGCCAUUUUAAUCGAUUGAGUAAUUGAAGUUGUUGAAUGGAUGUUCAUUGCAUGGUUGUGUGAGUGCUGCUAGUUUUUUGAUUGCAUUUUCUUUUAUUUUUUUCAUCGUUAAACUGCAGAGUUCUACUUAGAUCUUAUUUGCAGCUUUUUAAUUGAUCGCAUUAUGAAUUUUAAAGUUAUUGAAUGGAUGUUCAUUGCGUGGUUAUUAAUUCUAUUGUGUAAGUCGCAGUUUCGUUCUGAUCUAAUUUGUUUUCAGUCUUAUUUCUGAUCUAUUUGGUUUUUAGUUGUUCGAUUGAGAGAGACUAUAUUAACUGAUGUGUGAGGACUCCUAAUUUGGUUUAGAACACAGAUUAUUAGUAUUGGAACGAAAAACAAGUGGAACACAUAUAGGUAGUUCAUAUAGCAUAUUAUAUCUUGUUUGGGAUUGAUCGAUUGGUUGUGCCUGCCGUUCAAAAAACAGCUUAUUUGGUAGCUGUUUUGCCAAAAGUGAGCUGAAUUAUGAGUAGUAUUAAUGAAGUGGGUGUGCCUGGAUGUCUUACUUAAGUACUGAAUGGCUCUACUGGUUGUUGGUUAAUUUUUUGGUUUAGUUGUUCAAGGAGUGGAACCUAACUAGACUCCCCCACCUCCGUUGGGGGAUGGCUAUGCUAUGGUAAAAUUUCACAGUAAUCAUGUAGGUUAUUUAGUUUGAAAAGUAUGAAGACUUUGGGCAUGGGUGAUAUAUAUGUGGUCUACUUUGGAACUUUGCAAUCUUAAGUUUCUCUUUGAAGGGUUUCUAGAGUAAUCAAUUUGAAUGCUUAUUUAUGCACUGAUAAAAUUACCUAAGAGAGCGGUGUCUUUCUUUGGCAGAUUUAUUAUUUUGUACCUUUAUUGUUUCAUUUAUUCAUCUCUAUGAAUUUUCCAAUUUGUUUCAAAUUUUUUUGUUAGAAUAGGUGCCGUUUUUCUAGCCUACUAUGACCUAUAAAGGAGUUCAAUUUUAAAUCUUAAGUGUGAAAUCUUUGUCUGCAGUCUGUCAUGACAUUCAUAUUAUUUACUUUCUGUACCUUGUUCUGACUCGUGGCUCUUCUCUUUGAAGGUUGAAGGUAGUCUGCUUUCUGUAGAUUUUCAAAGCUGUGGUCUAAGUGAAACUUCUUUUAUGUCCGAACAAGCCAUCUUCUAUUUGGGAUCCAUUGGAUUGCUUGGAGAGUAUUGUCCUUGGUCAAGAAAAAAGAACCGUCAUUUCUCUGGUCAGGUUGACUGUAUGCAUCUCGAAUCAUUCAAAGAAGAACAGUUAGACUUUUCUGGUCGUUGGAAGGCACAACCGGCACUUAACAAUUGCGCUGCUGUAGAGUUCUCUGAACAUUCCUAACACUUCAUCCAGGACUCUUACUUAAUCAAAGAUGGCUUUGCAGAACAUAGGUGCCAGCAACAGAGAUGAUGCCUUCUACAGGUAUAAGAUGCCCAGGAUGCUUACCAAGAUAGAGGGCCGUGGGAAUGGCAUCAAGACAAAUGUGGUGAACAUGGUUGAUAUUGCCAAAGCAUUAGCAAGGCCCCCGUCCUACACAACAAAAUAUUUUGGAAAUGAGCUUGGGGCUCAGUCGAAAUUUGAUGAAAAAUCUGGAACUGCCCUUGUCAAUGGAGCUCAUGAAACUCCCAAGCUUGCUGGUCUUCUUGAAAACUUUAUUAAGAAAUAUGUUCAGUGCUAUGGUUGCGGAAAUCCUGAAACAGAGGUCAUAAUAACCAAAACUCAGAUGAUCCAACUAAAAUGUGCUGCAUGUGGUUUCCUUUCUGACGUGGACAUGAGGGACAAGCUGACAACUUUUAUACUUAAGAAUCCGCCUGAGACGAAGAAGGGCUCCAAGGACAAGAAGGCUAUGAGAAGAGCUGAGAAGGAGCGUCUGAAGGAAGGCGAGGCUGCUGAUGAAGAGCUGAAGAAGCUGAAGAAAGAAACAAAGAAAAAGGUUUCCUCCAAAGAUGCUAGCACAAAACCUAGUUCUAAAAAGAAACAUGGUAGCUCCGAUGAGGAUCGUGCUUCACCUCCUAGAAGUCAUGUUAAUGUGAAAGAAGAGGAGGAUGAAGAUGAUGAUGACGAUGUCCAGUGGCAGACUGAUACAUCGUUGGAAGCUGCUCAGCAGCGUAUACAAGAACAGCUAAAUACUGCGACUGCUGAAAUGGUUAUGCUGUCCACAGUUGAGUCAGAGAAGAAGAAGUCCAAGGCCCUAAGUCCUAAAGCUGCUUCGGUGACACCAGAGAUUUCCAAGACCGAGAAUGGAGUGACAAACCAUGAGAGGCUCGUUGGAGAAAUAAAAACAAAUCUAGCAAAGGGAGUUAUUGCCAGUAAAUUGCAAUCCUUUUUGGGUUCUCUCUCUGGAUCUCCUCAGGAAGUUAUUACUGCUUUGUAUGAGGCACUCUUGGAUGGUGUUGAGAAAGGAUUUGCCAAGGAGGUUAUUAAGAAGAAAAGCUACCUUGCUGCCAUUGCUCAAGACGAGGAGUCUCAACUACGAUUGCUUCAAGCUAUAGAAGAGUUCUCUGGGAAAUCCAACUCAGUUGCACUGAAGGAAGUGGCUCUGGUUUUGAAAGCUUUGUACGAUGAUGAUCUGUUGGAAGAGGAAUAUAUAGUACAGUGGUACAACAAGGGUGUUACUGCGAACAAGGACUCCAAAAUUUGGAAGAAUGUCAAACCCUUUGUCGAAUGGCUACAGAGUGCUGAGUCCGAAUCCGAAGAGGAAUGAGAUCAGAUUGCUGUCUGGUGUGCUUUAGUUUGCUUUCCCUGAAUGACCACCAUAUUUUAAAUUCAUGUUUUUUUUUUUUUUUAAUUUUUUUUUUUUUAUGUUUGUGUUGUUUGUUUGCCUUUGGUGCAGACUCGUAUUGGGUCCAUAUUGCAAGACUCUUUUGCCUCUUGCCUUUUAAGUGUCUUUUACGUGAGUAGAACUUUUAAUUAUCAUGUUUUGGUGUUGAGUCAUACACUCCAACCUUGUCUUGCUGUUACAUUUUAUAAGUCAUGUUAUUAUAUUAUAUGCUCCGUUGUACUGAACAAAAAUCCUUGAGUUUAAAAAUGUUAAGCUUAAUAUCAAUCAACAAGUGCAUAUACAAAGUAGCCAUUCAUUGAAUGGACAGCCACCAAAUGUGUUGGAUUGACAACAUUAUACAGUCAUCUGUUUUAUAAUAUUUCUUAUAUUAUAUUAGUUCAUGCAUAAUUUGUGUCCACUUGACAAAAUGGUGAUGUGCCACUUUGGUGACCAGACAAUCCAUAUAGUUUAAAGUGGUAUAGUUCUUCAACUAUGUAUUUGCAAAAUCAGUACACAUUCAGUCUUUAGCUAACGUUUUCUACAAAAUAUCAAGUCAUCAAUGGAAUGCAUUAAUUUUCAUCAUAUUCGGACAUCGGUAUAUGUGCAUAAAAACAAUGAUUUGGGCAACCAAAAUUUAAACUGAAAAUAAUGACGACAUAACUCAUGAAACAACAACAAAAAUUGUUAUAAUGUACCAUAUGCAAAUUGUAAGAUUAGAAAUUAAAAAUCAAAGAAAAAAGACUUUGCAAUUAUACAAUUUGUUUAAAAUUUCAAAGUUCUAUUUAAUAAGAACUAACUAAAAUUUCAACUUCAAAUUAAUCUAUUUCAAAUCAUUUCCAAACAAGACAUGGGAACCAUUUUUAGCUUUUUCUAAAAGUAUAAUACAUAAAUGUAUUAUUUAAUUUGACUUUAACUGACAAUUAUAUUUUUAACUUUUACUCUGCACAAAUAAAUCGUACAUAACAGAACACGUGCAUUUAUUUGUUUAAUUCUAUUGUGCACAUUCUAAAUUAGAGGGUAUGGAUAUGGGCCGAAUCCAAGUUAAAGGGUGUUUAUGUCUUUUGAUUUUUCUAAACUCUUCUCUCUCAAUUUUUCUUUCAAACCCUGUGUAUAAAAUUAUAAAUGAAGGAAACUUCUAGACCGGUUCUCCUCUAUCACCACCACUUCCCUAUCCUUUAUUAUUAAACCCUAUUCUACGUUUUUCUUCAAUUGCUCUCCUCAUCGUAUUGCAGAUUGCUCUGCUUCGUUCGAUCAAUAAGGUAUUUUUGAUUACUUUUUGUUCUUAUUUUCAUCUUAUUCUAUGCUUUAUCAAUUGACUAGCGGAAUUUUGAAGUUGUUAAAUCAAUGUUCAUUGCGUAUUUAAUUACGUUAUACAACUGUUCAUCGUCGUCCUGAUCUAUUUUGUUUUAGUGUUUUUUUGUUCCGAUCUGUUAUUUGAAUUGAUUGAUAAUAUAUUUUACUGAUCUGAUGGCCCCCAAGGCCUAGCUCGAGUGGCAAAAGGUGGAGGAUUUGUGACUUAGGUCGCAGGUUCAAGCCCCACACCAUGCAAAGUGAAGCCCGUUAUUUAAGUGGAGAAGGGUAGAGGGGCGGGCCCAUUAUCCACCGAGUUUAGAAGGCUGUGAUUGGUCCAAAGGGCGGGUCACAGACGGAUUUCUCGGUUAUCAAAAAAAAAUAAAAAUAAAAUAUUUUACUGAUCUGAUGAGAUUAUUAGGCGGAUGUUUUUAGAGAAUUUUCUAGCUUUAGAUGAGUCCUAAUUUGGCUUUAAAGACUUAUUUUUUGAAUCGGAGAGGAAAUAGGAGAAAUAGAGGGGAAUGGAGAUAGGUAGUUCAUAUAUCAGAUUCCAAAUAGUUUGGCAUUGAUUGAACGGAUUUUGUAUGUUUUCAUCUGUAUAAAAUGGACACUGAUUUCUUUAGUCGGAGUAGAUUGUGAAAGAAUAGUUUAUUUUGAUAGUUGUUGCCUGUAUUUGUGGUGUUCUCUUUUUGUCAAAAGUGAGCUGAAUGUCUCUACAACUUGAAAUGAGUCGAGUUAGUGCGAAAUGGAUAUAGAUAGUUCAUAUGUCAAAUUCCAAAUAAUUGCAUUGAUUGAAUGGAUUUUGUACGUUUCAAUCUGAAUAAAACGGACAUUGAUUUCUUUAGUCGGAGUGGAUUGUAAAAUGAUAGCUUAUUUGGUAGUUGUUGCCUAUAUUUGUGCGGUUCCCUUUUAGUCAGAAGUGAGAUGAACAGUGUUAUUAAAAGCGAGCGUGAGAAGCGAAGCUGGUAUCGCUUUUUUUUUCAGUACAGCGAGCCUAUAGUGAAAAAGCGAGCUUCUUUGGUCCCAGAAUUGAGAAGCGAGACUUCAGUAAAAAGCGAGAAAAAAGCUCAUUUUUCUGCUUAAGCAACAGUAACUAGUUCUUUUUUAAAAAAAAAUAAAAAAUUGUUAAAACAUUUUGCGACUUCUUUCUGAACAUUUCCCACUGUUUCACUUCUUCUUCUUUGCUCUGUUUCUCUACUGCGAGCUUGCGCUAAGGUUUUCUUUUUCAACUUGUAAUCUUCAAUUUUCUCUGUUUUGCAAUAUAAUCUUCUCUGCGAUUGUGCUACAGCGUUGUCUUUUUUUUUUUCCUUACUUUUUUUGCAAUUUUUUUACUCUAUUUUGUAUUUAUUUCUCUGUUUUGUGCUGUUUAUGUCCAUACUCUGCAAUUUUUCCUCUUUUUUGUAAUGGUUUUUGCUAUUCUGUCUCUGUUUUCACCUUUCUGUGUUUUUGUAGUACAUUCUAUUUACUUUUUAAUUUAAGAAAUGAAAGAUUUUCUUAAUAUGUUAUUUCUAUUGAGUUCUUGAUUAUUUAUCAAUGCACAUUUGAUAUUUUUUAUUUUUGUACUAAAUAGCGCUUUAGUUUUUAUUGUUUAUUUGCUUCACACUUCUCGCUUUGGUGAAAAGCGAGCGCUUGUUGAUUUUUACGCCCCUCACUUUUCAAAACACUGGAGCAGAAUGGCUCUACAGUUUGAUCCCUAAUUUUUUAUGCAUUUAGAUUGUAAUGGAGUGGAAACAUUUCAAGUGGGAACACAAAUUAUAACAAGAAUUGUGUCGGCUAUUCAUUCUGUUGAAGAAGUAUUAAGACUUCCGCAUUGGGGAUAAACAUAGUCUAGUUUUUGAAAUUAAGCAAUCUUGGGGUUCUCUUUCAUGUUUUUGUAGGUUAUGCAGUUUGAAAGCUUAUAUACACACUGAUAAAUGACCCAAGGUAAUGUUGAAGUUCCUUGGCAGAUUAGUUUAUCAUUAUGUACCCUUAUUGUUCCUAUUCAUAGAAAAGUUUUAUAGAACAUGUUGCUUUUCAAGCUGCUAUUGCCAAAAGGAACUCAUUUUUCAAUCUUAAGGGUAGAACAGUUUGUGACUGUCAUUAUUAAAAUCAUUUACCUCAUUUAUUAAUAUAAACUUAGUGUAGUAAUUUUUAGUUUCCUUGCCUGUAGUUGAUUCGUGGUUCGUUUGUUUGAAGGUUGCAGGUGGUGUGCCUUCUGUAGAGUUCCGAAGUUGUAGUAGUCUAAGUGAAACUUCUUUUAUGUCCGAACAAGCCAUCUUCUAUUUGGGAUCCAUUGGAUUGCUUGGAGAAUAUUGUCCUACGUCAAAGAAAAAGAACCGUCAUUUCUCAGGUCGGGUUGACCGUAUGCAUCUCGAACCAUUAAAGGAAGAGCAUUACGACUAUUCUGGUUGCUGGAAGGCACAAUCAGCACUUUGCAAUUGUUCUGCUGAAGAAUUCUCUGAACAUACCUAACACUUCAUCCAGAAAUUUCUUACUGAAUCAAAGAUGGCUUUGCAAAACAUAGGUGCCAGCAACAGUGAUGAUGCCUUCUACAGGUAUAAGAUGCCCAGGAUGCUUACCAAGAUUGAGGGCCGUGGGAAUGGUAUCAAGACAAAUGUGGUGAACAUGGUUGAUAUUGCCAAAGCAUUAGCAAGGCCCCCAUCCUAUACAACAAAAUAUUUUGGAAAUGAGCUUGGGGCUCAGUCGAAAUUUGAUGAAAAAUCUGGAACUGCCCUUGUCAAUGGAGCUCAUGAAACCCCUAAACUUGCUGGUCUUCUCGAGAACUUUAUUAAGAAAUAUGUUCAGUGCUAUGGUUGCGGAAAUCCUGAAACAGAGGUCAUAAUAACCAAAACUCAGAUGAUCCAACUAAAAUGUGCUGCAUGUGGUUUCCUUUCUGAUGUGGACAUGAGGGACAAGCUGACAACUUUUAUACUUAAGAACCCGCCUGAGGCUAAGAAGGGCUCCAAGGACAAGAAAGCUAUGAGAAGAGCUGAGAAGGAGCGGCUGAAGGAAGGCGAGGCUGCUGAUGAAGAGCUGAAGAAGCUGAAGAAAGAAACAAAGAAAAAGGUUUCCUCCAAAGAUGCUAGCGCAAAACCUAAUUCUAAAAAGAAACAUGGUGGCUCUGAUGAGGAUCAUGCUUCACCACCUAGAAGCCAUGUUAAUGUGAAAGAAGAAGAGGAAGAAGAUGAUGAUGAUGACGACGUCCAGUGGCAGACAGAUACAUCGCUGGAAGCUGCUCAGCAGCGUAUACAAGAACAGCUAAAUGCUGCGACUGCCGAAAUGGUUAUGCUGUCCACAGUUGAGUCUGAGAAGAAGUCCAAAGCAGCUACUCAAACCCCAAGUCCUAAAGCAGCUGCUUCUGUGACACCUGAGAAUCCCAAGACCGAAAAUGGAGAGACAAACCAUGAGAGGCUUGUUAGGGAAGUAAAAACAAAUCUAAAGAAGGGAGUUGCCUCCAGCAAAAUACAAUCCUUUUUGGGUUCACUCUCUGGAUCUCCUCAGGAAGUUAUUAUUGCUUUUUAUGAAGCACUCUUGGAUGGCGUUGAGAAAGGAUUUGCCAAGGAGGUUAUUAAGAAGAAAAGCUACCUUGCUGCUGUUGCUCAAGACGAAGAGUCUCAACUCCGAUUACUUCGAGCUAUAGAAGAGUUUUCUGGGAAAUCCAACUCAGUUGCACUGAAGGAAGUGACUCUGGUUUUGAAAGCUUUGUAUGAUGAUGAUCUGUUGGAAGAGGAAUAUAUAGUACAGUGGUACAACAAGGGUGUUGCUGCGAACAAGGACUCCAAAAUUUGGAGGAAUGUCAAACCCUUUGUCGAAUGGCUGCAGAGUGCUGAGUCCGAGUCCGAAGAGGAAUGAGAUCAGAAGUGUUCCCCCCUGAUCAGAUUGCUGUCUUAAGCCGGUUUGAUUUGCCUGUGAUGCUAUCGUGUUGGACAUUCACAUGUGUGUUAAUCUUGUGAUGUUUGUGUUAUCUGUUUAUGUAUGUUUUAUUUCAUGAUAUUUGUAUUGUCUGUUUGUCUGUGCUGCAAACUCAUGGGAGGCUCCUUUUCUCAGUCUCUGGCCUUCAUUUUAAUGUCUUUACGUUGAUAAAACUUCCCUUUAUUUGGCAUUAUCUCCUAUAUUAUUCAUAAAAGGAACUUCUUCUUCAGUAGUUUUUUGUCAUGAUCACUACUAAUCCUUAUUUGAGGCAUGUAUGAAUCUAGUGGAUUUUGGCUUAGUUUGGCCUCCUUCCCUACCUCAAGGGCAUACGUAAUAUAUUUUGUUUCGAUUUUUCAAAAAUAUUGACGCGGGUGUUAUAAUUUUUCAAUUUGUUUUUUGUGUCAAGAAAACUAUAGGUGGAGACAAGUUUUCAACAUAUUUUGGCAAUACCGCUGCUACAUUUGUGAAUAUAAAAACCACGAUUGACCCUGCUCGGCUUUAACGCAGUGCUCCAUAUUUUUAACUCAUGCUAACUAUUAACGUGCAACAUUGAUGAAGAUUAAAUAGAAUGUUUUGCCAAAAAAAAUCAAGCCAAAGGAGAGAAUUAUUGUUAGGAUCUUGUCUUAAUUUUCUUACCAUAUGUUGAUUUUACUUUUCUCACGAAGGAAAGACAUUAUCACCAAAUACGCCAUAAUCGAGAUUAAUGCACAAACUCUAUAUUAUAUACAAUAGGUUUAAGAUUACAAUAUGCAGAACUCUAAGGUUUUACAUGCUUUAAUGAUAUUGAUCUAAUCUAUUCACACAUUUUCUUCUGCAGGAAAUAUGUAGACAUUGAACAAAAGAUUGGAUCUAUUAACCUGUUCAAAGACACAAACAUCACCUACUUUAAUAUUAUUGUCGAACACAAACUCCUUCCAACCUAAAGUCAAUUUUGCAUAUUCUUUUGCGCGGUUGCAUUUUAAAGUCCAUGAUCUCUUGCUUGGAACUUGCAGCACCAGAUCACUACGUUUAGCGGAAAAAAUUUCCCACCCAAUCACCCGAGGUAUGUUCUGUAAAAAAAGUUCAAACCAAAAGAUUUACUAUCAUUAGAGUGUAUGCAGAGCUUACCCCUAUCUCAUAGAGAUAAAAAUGUCAUUUUCAGUAGACCCUUAGCUUAAAAAACGCAUUUCAAGCUGUUUAAAAAAGGGAAUACAGAAAUACAACAACAACAACCGGGUCUGGGAGGUUAGAGUGUAAGCAAACCUUACCACUACCUUGUGGAGAUAGAGAAGUUGUUUCUGAAAGACCCUCGGCUCAAGUGCAUCAAACCCAAGUAAAAGAAGAAGAAAACAUAACAGUUAAUAAAAAAAACAUGUAAAGUCUACCUAAACAAAACAAUAACAGCAUAUGACAAGAACUACAAAGGUAUGACUAGUACUACAACAGACACUAACAAGCCUAAACUUUCGCAAAGCAGGACAACAUUCAACCCCUACUAACAUUCUAGCCUAAUACUCAAUCUCCACUCCUUACUGUCUAGAGUCAUGUCCUCAGUAAUGUGAAGUCGCGCCAUAUCUUUUCUAAUCAACUCUCCCCAAUACAUUUUCAGCCAAUCUCUACCCCUCUGCGUACCCCCUACAAUCAACCUCUCACACCUCCUCAUUGAGGCAUCAAUUCACCUCUUCUUCACAUGUCCAAACCAUCUCAGUUUCGCUUCCCUCAUCUUGUCCGCCACAGAGGCCACUCCACCUACUCCUGGAUAACCUCAUUCUUAAUCUUGUUGCUCCUAGUAUGACCAUACAUCCAUCUCAACUCAUCUCCACAACAUGCAUCUUCUGAACAUGGGAGUUCUUGGCUGGCCAACACUCCACUCCACUCCACUCCACUCCAUACACAAGGACGGUCUAACCACCACUUUGUAGAACGUGGUACCUUCUUAUCACAAAAGAUUCCAGCGGCAAGCCUCUAUUUCAUCCGUGCUGCCCUAAUGCAAUGCGUGGUAUCAAUGUCGAUGUCCCUACUACCUUGGAUUACGGACCCAAGAUACUUAAAACUUUCUCUCAUAGGGAUAGUCUGUGUGGCAAGUCUUACUUCCACGUCCGCUUCAUCCAACACAACACUAAAUUUGCACUCCAAUGGAAGUGUGAAAUGGAAAAUAGUGCACAAGUUACAAAGAAAGAACAAUAACAAUAGCGAAAUGAUGCAAUAACCGAAGCACAAACAAAUGCAGGUGAUAACCGAUAUCGAAGAACAAACUACGAGAAUAUUGCUAAUAGUAUUGGUAAGAAAGUAGGUAGGUACAUGUAGCUUUAUUAGGAGUUAGGAUACAAAAAUUUGAGAGUCCAACAGAUCUUCAAAGAAUACACAUCUUACCAACGAAUUGCCAGAAACAUAUGAUGAUUGCAUAACACGAAUGAAGAAUGGAUUUUCAGAUGUAAAAGCUUUUGCUCUUUGAUAGUCUGCACUAAUGUAUUGAGAACAUGGAUCUUCACUAUCAGAAACGACCUCUGCAUGCUUUGAUGUGUUAAAAACUGCUGGAAAUAUGAUCACAUUUAUCGACACGGGCAUUGUGCCCUCAAUCACUUUAAAGACACAAACAUCUCCAGUUUUUAACUUGUUGUCUAGCACAAGUGCCUUCCAACUAAAUUUAGCAUUUUUUGUUCCGAUAGUGCAUUUGACAGACCAAGAUCCUUUGCCUGUAACACUAAGCACUACAUUGCGAUGGUUUAGGAAAUACCUCUUAGCAAAUUUCUUCGGUAUGGACUGGAAAAGAGAGAUAAAAUCAGUAACCUGAGUUUAAAAUUGUGCAUAUGCAUAUGGAUUGAAUUGAAAAAACAAAGAUUUUAGAGUAUCGGUUUAACAAAGUUUGGUUAGCUUACCAGGCUGAAUGAGUGGGAGACAUAAGAUGGAUGCAUAAUAGAUAUGAUGAAUGGAUUGUUAGAUUUAAAAGCUUUUGCUUUUUGAUAGUUUAAAGCCAUCUCUUCAUCCCUUUCUACCUCCGAUUGUUGCUCGUUCUCCCCUUGUGACUCUUUUUCCUCGAUUACGUUAUUUUGAAUGUCAACUGAAACAUCAUCAUCCUCUUCAACUCCGCCAUCUUGUCUUUUUCUUUUGCUGGCCUGUACAAAUGAACGACCUAUGUUUUCAACAGAACGCUCAACCACAUCUGAAACUUUCGUUUUUCCUCUGUGACUUUCUGGAUAAACCUCUAAAAGCUUUGGUGUUUGAUAGUUUAUAGCUAUCUCUCCGCGCUCCUCUGCCUCGUUCUUACUAGGAACAAUCUCGGAUUGUUGCUCAUGCUCCUCUUGUGACUCUUUUUCCUCGAUUACAUUAUUUUGAUUGCCAAAUGAAAUAUCAUCCUCUUCAACUCUAUCUCGACAUUUUCUUUUGCUGGCAUGUCCAAAUGAACAAUGUCCUAUGUGGUUUUCUGGAUCAAUCUCUAUAGAAUUAUCGGAAUCAUUCUUUGUUGGUGGAUAUUCGAUUUCUGUUGCACUCAAAUCAAAGAUGGUGACAUUAAAAUGGGAACAACCAUCGUAACCAAACAUCGAAAAGUGUCCACAGCUUAUCGAGUGAUAAUCUACGAAAUCUAGCCAUCCCUUGUCUAGACAAAUUUGAUCCUCAAAAUGAACCACUUCAACUUCCCAUACCUUGCCACUAGGUACCUCAAGAUAUGCAAGGUUCUUGCAGUAUCUGUUCGCAAAGUCUUCCGGAAUCCUCUGCAUUUAAAGGAAAAUAGCUUAACUCAGUUUAUCCAUCAAUGUUAUGAAAAGGAAUAGAUUUAGGGAAACAAAAACACCGGCUUUGAUCAAAAUCUAAACCUCCCAUUAUGUUGACUCUCCAAAAAUGUUGUCGCCCUCGUGCCGGAUCCUCUGAAAAAUGCACUACUUUUUGAAGGACCCAACACGUACCUAUACGCAUUUUCAAAAAGUCCGAGCAACAUAGAUUGCUACUAGGAUUGUGGCCAAAUUCGUUGAGAUUGUGCAAAGCCAAAUGAAAUUCAAUUCCUCAACAACACAUUAUAAAUUGAGAAAAUACUUAAAAUAGUCUUCUUCUUUUUUUGGGGUUCAGACUCGUUCUUUCACACAGAGCCCUAAUAAUCCUCCAUAUUUAUAGUAUUGGUGCACCUUGGUUCGCCCUCAUACUUUAGUCUCUUUUUUUUUACAUCGAGAAGUUCAUCACGUAAUAUUUCAUAUGCAACCGUAUACAAUUUUCUUUCCUUGCAACGUCAUUUGCCGACAAUAAAUUGAUAUAGUUCGAAAAGCAAAGACAGGUUCUUGGUUAUGCUGCAAUGGUGUUUGGACUGCAUGAACACUCUUCUACUCACCUUCUCUCACGUGGAGCUAUUGUAGAAGACGAUUGAACAUUCUAUAUACUAAAUUGUGGAUAAACCAACAUUAAAAAACAGACCAUAAUUAGGGGAUGACCGAAUUUGCACCAAUAUUGUAAACAUGAGGGGCUAUUAGUGCUUUAUGCGGAAAAAAAAAAAAACCAUGACUUUGAGUCAUAGUUCAAAGAUAAAAGACUAUUUUGGGUUUUUUCACUAAUAUGUUUUUGACUAUUCAAAAUCCUGGACUGAAUUUAGACGGGGUCAGAAUAGACUGAGUUAAUAAAUACAGUUACUCAAGGUGAAAAGGGAUAAAAUGUAGGUUAAAAGUCAACCUCCAAUAGAAGGGGCGGAGCCAGCAUAAUGUUAGGUGGUAGGGUUCAUCGAAAUCCUAUUCAACGGAAAAUAUAACUAUUUAUAUAUGGUUAAUUUAUUUUAUUUUAUGUAAAUAUAGUAGAUAUCGAACUCCUAUUCCGCCGGGGAGGUGCAUUAUGGUGAAAAAAAAGAGAGAAGAAAGUAGUUACGAGGGAGGUGCAUUGUGGUGAAACAAUGAUCUUAUAGAACUUGGGUUGUGCUUUUGAAACUUCACCGCUUUCAUGCUUGCUUGCAGCCAUCACAAAUCCGCCUGUUGAACGCUAAAAAGUUUUGGGAAAUUUAUUAAAGCCUAAUUUCCAAAUUUAAACUCCAACCCUAUUCUCUAAUUUAUCACCAAAUAUAGAGUUCAGGGCGACAAUAUGAGUAUUAUUAUUUUUAUUUUCUUAUUUAUAAUAUAAAUCAUUUCUUCUAUAUAAAAUUUUGUUUUUUUCAAUUUUUUUAUCUAAUAUAAAUAUAUUUUUAUAAGUUUUCAUUUCUUUUGAAUAAAGUGAAAACAAAACUACCUCUUAAAGUGUGACUUGACUCUAAAAUAAACUUAUUAAAAUACGAUAAAAAAAUAAAAUAUUCAAUUUAAAUCUAAAAAAAUAUUUAAGGAAUAAAAAUGAUGUAAGACGUUAGAUUUGAUAAAAAAAAAUUUACGUAUCUACGAAAUCAUUGAUCAAUGAAAAAUUGCAGAACAAGAUGAUUGAACCCAUUUUAUAUGCUUUAAUUCAUAAAGAAGACCUAAAUUCAUACAGAUUGCUUUACUUCACCAGAUUGAACCUUACGACCUUUGUUGGAUCGAUCGUUCUCAUGCAUCUAACCGAAGGUCUAUCAGAAACAACAACAUACCCACUAUAGUCCCACAAGUGGGGUCUGGGGAGGAUAGAGUGUACGCAUACCUUACCCCUAUUUCUCAUAGAAAUAACACGACUGAAGAAGUCAUGACAAAAUACUACAGAACGCAUGUCAAAGCAUUCAGAAAAAAGAAACAUAACUACGACAAAAUAAUAAGAUAAUCGAAGUGUAAGAGACAACACUUCCAUAGAAACAAGUGGAACAGAAAGCUACCCCAGCUUCAAUAGAGAGCAUAUCAACAUUAACAAAGUAGACAAUAGCAACUGCUCUAAUUUCAUCUUUUUCUUCCUUGCAAAACCCCCAAAAAACAGAACUGAGAAAGUGUGAGUAUCUAACGGGAAGAGAACAAAGUAUACAAGUUGUCAUCCUUCUCUUCCUCUUCGUCAUCAAACUCAGGACCUUGACUCGUCAGAUUCCUCUUGUUCGGCAUCUACAACAGCCACUCGCCUGUUAUACGCAUUCAUUCUCUUUGCAUAUUCUAACUUCCUUUUCUCUUCCUCCGCUAUAUAAGGAGCUUUCUCAGCAUCUGACAUCUGCUUCCACUUGCUUCCACCAGCUUUCCCAACAACAGCAAUAGAUUUGAUGCUCGGAUUCAGCUCACGGAACUGCUUUCUGAACUCCUCCAUGAAAAUGAAGUAAGCACUUGUAGGCCUCUUAGGUAUAUCAAGACCCCUGGCAGGCCUUCUCAACUUUUUUAGUCCUGGAGUUUUCUUCUUCAUGUGGAAUACAUAAUUAGCUUUGGCAUUGGAUUUAUCGCCUUCAUGAGGAAACCGUUACGGUUGAGAAAAUGAACAAGAGAGACAACAACAACAACAACGACAUUCCCAGUAUAGUCCACAAGUGAGGUCUGUAGAGGGUUGAGUGUACGCAUAUCUUACCUCUACCUCGGCAAGUAGAGAGAUUGUUUCCAAUAGACCCUCGUUCAAGAAAAGCAAAAAACACAACAUUUAUGAAGACAUGAGAGACUAAGAAUGAGAAACACAAAAAUGGUAAAGUAAUAUAAUAAAAAUAUCGAAAAUAAUACUAAUACUACUAGCAAGAGAGACUGAAAGGGAAAUCUUUGGGGAGGGAUUCCAAGGGGAUCUCAACAUAUGGUCAGGAUAACAUACAUGUCUCUAACUAGACUAAAACAAUAAAAAAAUAUCGCAAGCUUAAUGCAAGUGCAACAACAAUUAGGAUCCGAUCCAAAUUAGAUGGUAUGAUCAAACGACAUCAUUUAUAGAUGAACUGAAAACAGUUAGAUAUACCAAACAAGUAAAGUGAUCGAUGUUUACCUUCUUUAGAGUCACUGGAUGGAUCAACUUCGGACCUCGACUUGUCAGGUUUCUCUGCUUCGGCAUAUCCAGCAGCCAUUAGCUGGUUAUAAGAAUUCAAGACCUUUGCAUAUUCGACCCUCCUUUUCUCUGCCUCAGCAUAUCCAGCAGCCAUUAGCUGGUUAUAAGAAUUCAAGACCUUUGCAUAUUCGACCCUCCUUUUCUCUGUCUCAGCUAUAUAAGGAGCUUUCUCAGCAUCUGACAUCUGUUUCCACUUGUCUCUGACAAGUUUCUCGACAGCAUCAAAAGAUUUGAUGGUUGAGAAAAUGAACGAAAGACACGAUUUAACUCCUGACAUGGCAUGAUCUAACAAUAACAAACAGCAAAUUUAAUACAGGUACAACAGUAAUUAGGACUCCUCUGUGCAGAUUAGUUGGUAUGAUCUAAAUAACGUCAAAUGUAAAAAGAAACAUGUUACCUAAAUGUGAGUAGCUAGGCUAUUCCCUGUUUUUCGAGCAACUUGAUGGAUCGAUGCUUUCUUCCACAGAGUCUGAUGAUUCUUUCGAAUUUCUUGAAGCUUCAAUAUCCUCCUCCUCUUCUUCCGAACUGCUGCUGAGUUCCUUGAAAGGUUGUCUCCCAUGAAAGUUUCUACCACUUUUCUGGGUGUAGGGAACGACUAGGAAAGUCGAUUUGUCAACGAGAAAGAAGAGCAAGACAUCCCCUGGCCUCAGUUUGUGAAGACCACAAACUGUGGCCAGUCUCCUUCACAGAUGAAGAAAUUGGAAUUCUUUCUUAUUAUCUUUGCUUCCCACAACACCCCUUCGUUCGUGUGCAGUAAGCAAGUCUUCGCCAACAUCUUUUUUAGUCCAUUGAUGAAAGCAGGCGGAAUUUGCUAACAUAUCAAAGUUUCAUGAUUAGCAAAAGUCAGUUGGAAAAGUAGAAAUGGCAAUGGAGCGGGGUAGGGACAGUGCAAAAGCUUAACAGCACAAGGUGGAAGGCAAAAUAUAACAAAAAUUUUAAACACGGCAAAGCAUGGCGAGUCAGACCCGAAUUUGAAAUUUCAAAUGGCAUAUAUAGAAAUUACAUAAGCCAUUAUUGGAUGUGUUACAUACAAAUAAUUGGUUCUUUUGACAACAACAACAUAAACAUAACCAGCGUAGCCCCACAAGUAAGGUCUAGGGUGACUGUAGUGUACACAGACCUUACCCCUACCUUUGUGGGGAUAGAGACGUUGUUUCAAGUAGACGCCUCGAAAUUGAUGCUUUUGAAAGGAUGGAUAUUAAAGUCAAAAGCUGUAUCUGUUAUGAUUCAUUGGAUUGCUACCAUUGUUCUUUCAAAUGCAAGUUCAUAUGAAAAUUAUUUGAACAUAAACAUCAUUUGAAAAAGUAGUUUUUGGUCAUACAACCUUGGAGCAACGAUAAAAUUAUCUCCAUUAACCUAUAGAUCACGAAUUCAAGCCACGAAAACAACUACUAAUGCUUGCACUACAGUAAGUUAUCUACAUCUCACCAUUGCGCCCUCUCUUACAUUUGGUGCAUUGAUCAAAUUGAAGUUUCUCUAUUUCAAGUUUUCACUCACUAAACUUCAAACUCCAUUCAAUAAAAUUCAUAUUAGAACACAAUUACAAAGUACAAUAACAUAUCCUAAUCACAAAAGUGGGCUCUGCGAAAUAACAUAAGAGUAAUAAAAUACAAAAUUCUUCAAAGUUACAAACAACAAAAAACUAUCCACAGUAAAAGUAAGUCCUGACUAAUUACAUGAAAUAACUGUGAAUUAUUGAAUGGUUUUGAAUUAUUCCACUUAAAUACCCAAAACUUAACUUUUUAACUUCAAGAAAAUUAGUAAAAAAGAAAAAGAACUUACUAUAUUAUGCAUACAAUUUGCAUUGGGUAAAAGCAAGAGAAAUGAUGGAUGCUUGCUAGGGUCCACUAGCAUUUUUCAGAACUUGAAAUGACAAAAAACAAAGAAUGAGGAUGUUUAUAAGAUGAAAAAUUAGGGUAGCACAAUAUUCUUGAAAGUUAAAAGUGAAAAAUAAAUAAAUAUAUAAUACUCCGUCUGUUUCAAAUUAUGUGACAUGUUUUGUUUUUGGACAGUCAAACAAUUUAAGUUUGAUCGAAAAUUUGCGCUUGAAAUCUUCAAUUUUUUUAAAUAAAAUUUAUAUGUCUGUAAAUUACGUAAAAAAAUAGUGUAAGUCACAAUAAUUGACAAUUCAAAAUAUUUAAAAGAUACAUGAAAAAUUUACAUUAUAAAUAAACAUUUGAAUCUCAAAAUUCAAAAUAUGUCACAUAAAAUAAAGAGAGUGUUAAGUUCUUUUAUAGGGAAGCGAAAUGAAAGAAAUAAAAUGAGAGCACAAUUUUCUGGGAUGAUUUUCUGUUCAUGGUCUUUAAUAGGUCAAAAAGAAAAAAGUAUUGCCCAACGCAAAACAAGUUAAAAUGAUUUAAGUAAAUGAUAAAAUCAAAGUUAAAAGGCUAAAGUCAUAUACAAUCCCGAGCUAAUACGUGCAACAAAUCCCAAUUUCUAAAAAAAUGCUUUUAUUAAAUAAAAAAUGAUGGUGAGCAUGGGUUACGUCGCUUGGCGCUUCAGCAUCCUUUACUUUGAUAUCUUAAUUAAUUGGGCAAUUUAUAUAAAUAAUAUAUUAUAUUUAAGAAUUAUGAUAUAUUUUUUACUUUUACCAAUAUUAACCUUUUUUAAUCAUAAAUCGAUCUUUCUCUUUAUUUCUCUCUCCUUGUCUUUUCUUCGGACCUGUUUGACCAUAAAUUUCUCAAGGAUUAAAUGGUCUAACGGACCCUUAUACUUGUAUGCAUUUGUAUUAUGGACCCUUCUAUUUAAUCUUUUAUCAACUGAACCCUUACACUCCAUCAAAAGAAGAUUUUGAAACCCUCUUAUCAGGUGUGUAGUUCACUCGCAUUUAAAUAAAUUAUAUAUCAAAUCCACGUCAUCUAAAUUAAUGACAUGUCAUAAUUAUCGUUAUUAACUAUUUUUUAAAACUAUUAACCAAAAUUAUAUAAUAAAAUAUGAAAUAAUAAUUUUUUAAUUUAUUCUUUAUUGUUUGAAACUCCAUACUUUAUCUCCCCAUUCCUACCUUGAAACCCUCAAAAUCUAAAGCCUUCGCCGCCGUCUUCAUCUCAGUCAUCGUCGCAACUCUUGCAGGUGACCACAUGUACUCCCUUCCUCACCCGUAUCAUCUCCGUCGUACCAUGGCCACUAGAUCUGACCGGAAAACCUCUUCACUGUCGUGACCAGAUCCCACCCUCACCGCUUCGUUCUUCUUCCACUGACCUGCGUCGUCUCUCUCACUCCAUUGCGAAUUAGUGGUCUCGGUCGAGCACGACCACCGCUGCUCACUCACAAAAGCGGGAAGAACAAAGAAAAAUGGACCGGACAGACAUGGAGAUGGCUAAAAAUGGAGGUGGGCCGAUUGGCCGAGGAAGAAAGCAUUUUUUAGUUACUAUAAUUUUUUAAAAAAGUUUCAUUAUUUUAUUGUUUUAUUUUUCUAUUUUUUAAAUAUUUUUAAAACUUAAAUAGGAUAGUCACUCGCCUUAACGAGAGUGAAUUUACGCACUUUUGCCAACUCAACUAUUUGAAUGCCACAUAAGAUUAGUCAAUGGUCUGAGGGUUUGAUAAAUUGUGAUUUAUUAAGUUUAAGGGUUCAAUUGAUAAAGAAUUAAGUAAAAGGGUUCACAAUACAAACUCAUACAAGUACAGGGAUUUAUUAGACCAUUUCGCCAUUUCUCAAGUAAUAUUUGGGGGGAAAUUGGAAAAUAGCGUUUGUCCAUACAAUUUGUCAUUAUUUGACAAAUAUUUUCGGAAAAUAUCCCAAAUUCCCAAAUACUAGUUUUUUCUAUUAUUUGGGUCAAAUCUCAUUAUUUGUGAUCUUUUAAAAAUUGAAAUUUUACACCAAACCUUUAUCUUUUACAAAAAUACCCUCUAUUAUAGUUGUUUGCGUUGUAUUACAUAAUUUUAUAUGUGAACACCAAAGUAGUGAUGAAAUAUUCAGUGAAUAUGAAAGUAAUGAUAUGGUUGUUGAUAAAAUGAUGAACAAUCGGCUCAUGGUAACAAAGUCAUGUGUUUUGUCUACUUCAUGAUGUAUGGAAUGAUGCUUGCUGCACUCACUCUAAACUACCACAUUGCUCCAGUGUCAUGGACACUACUUGUUAUUUGUUGCAACGAAGAUCCAAUUAACUUGUAAUGCAAACUUAUGGUUAGUUUUGAUAGUUUUUAAAACCUAUAGGUAUAAAUCAUAUUUUUCUAAAAAAGUGAAAUAUGUUUUCCAAAUACUAUGGCCAAACACAUGGUGAUAUUUCACCCAAAUUUUUACCCAAAUAGUAUUUGCCAAGAAUAUUUGAAAAUUUAUGGCCAAACGCUAGCUUCAUUUUUCUCUCUCUUUCUCCUUCUCUUCUUUCCAUCAUUUUCUCUCUCUUUCCUUCCUCGAUCUCUUUUCUUCCGACAUUUUCUCUUUCUUUCUUUUUUUUAAAAAAAAUCAAUUAUUUUAAUAUUUAAGAAUAUUUGGUGAAGAUUAUUUUUUAUUUUGAAAAUAUGAAGAUGUUUUUUAACAUUAUUAAUAAAAUAAAUAAAUAUAAACUAUAUUGGUAAUACAUUUUGAAUUCAAUACAUUAUAACUAUUAUAAGCAUUUUUCAAUGCAUAUUGUGAAUAUAUAACUAAUAUAUUUUUAAUACAAUAAUAUAUUUUAACACCGUUUAUAAGAGAGAAAAUAAAUAAAUAACAAUUGUAAUAUAUUUGAAUUCAAUAUAUAGGCAUGUUUCAAUACACAUGGUGAAAUAUAUAAUCAAAAUAAUUUUAAUAUAAAUGUAGUAAAAGUAUUAUAUGUGAAUGUCUACACCGAUACAAUUUAAAUUAGUUUAUGUUGUUAGAAAUGUAUUAUAUUUGUUCUACAAUAACAACUAUCGAAAUCGUAAUAAUGUAUAAUAUUGAAUUUAAAUUGUAUUACAACUAUAGUUUAAUACAGUUUUAAUAUAACUUUAAUACAAUUAUUUUUAGAGCUUCACCCUUCUUCUCCGGUGAAUCACCACCGUCGGACUAUCAUCAGAUUAUCAGUAUCUCAGGUCUAAAUUAAUUUAAUAUUGUUAGAAAUGUAUUGUAUUUGUUUACAUAGCAAUAAUCGAAUUCAUAACGAUGUAUAAUAUUGAAUUUGAAUUGUAUUAUAACUAUCAUCUAUAUUUAAUGCACUUUUAAUACAAUUGUAAUACAACUUUUCAAAGAUACACCUUUUCUCCUCUGGUGAUUCACCACCAUCAAAUUAUUAGUAUCUCAAGUCAAUUUCAAAACAAAAUACCACAUAGUCUACACACAACCACCAGACUCCAUUUUUCCUAUUUUUACUAAAGCAACGAACAUAAAAACUACAAUCUUCUUUGGUUCUAAUAAUUAUAAAUUGAAAAAUAAAAUAAAAUAAACAUAAAAGAGAACGGAGAAUAGAGAUCGAACAUUAUCGAUUUUCACAGAGCUCGCCGGAGCUCCUAAUUUUUUGUUGAAAUUUGAUGAUUUUCCAAUUUGAUUUUUGUGUUGUUUGUUGUUAUUUGUUUUUUUGGUGGUGGUGUAGAUGUGAGAAUAAAAAAUGAAAGUUGGAGUGGUUGUUAUUCGUUGCUUUGUUCAUAGAUAAUAUACUUUACAAGAAAAUAAGUGGAAAAAAUUCAUUUGCCAUCAAAAUAAUAAAUUCAAAUUAGUCGUCGAAUUAAAAAAUUAAAAAUAAUGUGUGAGAAAGAUCAAAUAUACCCCUAUAUGGAUUAUUAUUUUUAAUGAAAAAUUAAUUAUUUCACAUUUGUUAGAGUAAAGUGGUAUAUGUGAGUCAUUUGUGUAGUAAUAGGGGUAUAUAUGAGUCACUUUCAUAACGAGAGGUAUUUCAGUUCUAAAUAACAAAGUUGAGGGUAUAUCAUUUCUUUUCCCUAGAAACUAUUUUAGCAUGUUGUAUUCAUUGUUAAAAAAUGGGGAAAGGAUAAAAAAUACCUCUUAACUUUCAUUUAUUAGUUGACCUUAUCCUUACCAUUAAAAUAAAGUUAAUAAUUCAAAGAGUAAAUGAUUAGCUAGUGAAAGAUAAACAACUGUAAAUAACUAAAAAUAAUCAAUGAUGUUGAUCAAAGUUAAUCUAGGUCAACAUUAAAAUUUUUAAUACCUUUUCUUUUUUAUUUUAUACGCAUUUCUUAAAUUAACUAUAUCUCAUUUAAAAGCAAUUAUGUAUUACUAGGUGAUAACCACAACAAAGUAUCAACCAAAUUAAAAAUUCAUCUUAUGCACUUUUAGUCUUCUAACGAUUUCGGUGAGUUCAAUUCUUCCAACAAGGUUAUCAAGUAAGUAUAUUGUACUAAUUAUCCUUCCAAUAUUUAGCUUAAAAUCCAUGAUAACAUUCACGAUAAUUACAUUAGACACAUCAAAUUUAGACUAUCAAGUAUAAUAAGACUUAUAUAGCAAAAUAGAAUAUACUCUAUACUAUUUAUGUUUGGGUUAAUGCACUAUCGGAGAUGCUCGUAGAUGAAGAAACUAGAGUUGAUAAGUGUUAUAAAAUAUAGCAUGUGUAGUAAAAUAAAAUGGCAAGAAGAAAAAGAGAGAAAGAGAGAGACACAAAGUAAUAGUAGUAGUAGUAGCAACUUGUUUUCUCUAUUUUUGAAUGUUUUCUUUUCACUUACGCUUACCUUAUGUUUCUUACUUUGUUACCAAAAGAAAAAGGUAUAUAUAUAUAUAUGUAUACACACACACUUGGGCAUCAAGAAUAUUACAUGAACACCUAGUUUACAACACUUUAUAUAAUGUGUGCAUUUAUAUCUUACACACAAAGCAUUGUGUGUACAUAUAUGUUACCACAAAAUAUAUGUAAGUGGACAUCCAUUUUACAACAAUUACUACCACAAAAUUGUUUUUACUUUGUGUUUAUGAGAUUGUAUUAGGAGUUCAAUUAAUGAAAUCAUAAAUAUGCGUACAAUUUAAAUAAAAUAAAAGGAUCUUUGAAACUAUUCCGUAAAAAAAACAAAUUGAUGAAUCCAUUAGGGUUUUUUUCUUUCCGAUCCCAAACAAGUUUGGAUUGACUUGGUCAGUAUAAAAAUAAAGCGAUUUUUCCGAUUUCAAACAAAUUUGGAUUGAGUUGAUCAGUAUAAAAAUCUCAUAUUUGUGAAGAUUUUGUAUUGAAAGCGGUUUUUUCGAUCCCCAAAUAAGUUUGUUGUAUUGAAAGCAUUUUUUGUAGAAUAAUUGAGUGUUUGAGACAAUCAUAAAUAAAAGUAUGAAACUAAAUUCUAAAUUAAGGACAGUUUUAUACCAAAUGAUAUAAAUCUCAUUAUUUAGUUUGCUAUUAGAUUAUCGAUUAAUCCAUUAACAAAAAAACAUAUAACCCGAUAAUAAUUAAAAAGAAAAAUUUCAAGUUUUUCAUUUGUCUCAUUGUGAUGAAGAAGGUAUAUGCACCCCGAAAAAAAGAGGUAUAUCACCACUGACCACUCAUAACAAGUGGUCCUAUUUGAUAGGCCCAACCAAGCAGAAGUCUUAGGGCAUCUCCAACUCUAAAUUCUAUUUUACUCUCUAAUUAUAAAGUUCUCUAUUUUUUCAGAUAAUCAGCUUUAACUCAGUUCUUUAUUUUAUUCUCUAAAUAAAAAUCUUUUUUUUCUCUCCUCAAUAUUAUAUUAUUAUUUAUAUUUCAUUCUUAUUUUCUUAUUUCAUAAUAUAAAUUCUUUCUUUCUUUUUCUCAAAUAAUUACUUUAUAUAAUUUUCAUGUGAUAUAAAAUUUUAUUUUUUUCAAAUUUUUUAUUUAGUAUAAAAUUUUAUUUUAUUUUAAGUUUCUAGAUAACCUAAAUUGCAAGAAAAUAUUAUAUAAUAUACAAAUUAAUGAACAAAUUCAAAUAAAAGUGAAAUACAAUUACAUAAACACUCAACUUUCAAAAUUAUUACGUUGCUCCUGUAAAUGUUCUAUUAAUGCAUUACGGAGUUCAAAAUGAGUAUUUUUGUCGUUAAUUUUUUUAUGUCUAGCUAAAAAUUAUUCAAACUGGAGAUUUUCAUCUACCAUCAUAUCCUAACUUUUUUUCUUCGAAUAGUGCUAGAUUUGGAAACGACCUAUCGGAUUACUAAAUUAUUGUUGUGAUAAAUUAAUUAUUAUGUUAUGUAUUGUAUUGUGUUUGAUCUUGUAUUUAAAUUAUUAUGUUAUGUAUUGUGUUUUUUAAAUUAAAAUUUUUCAUCUUAUCAUUUUAAUUUUGUGCAUUCUUUAUAGUGAAAAUUAAUAAUAAAAUAAAAUUAGAUUAUUGACGAAAAUUAGAAAAAAAAUUAAAAUAUUUUUAUUCGGGAUGAAAGUAGUAUAUAUUAAAUAAUAUAUUUUCUAAAAUAUUAUAUUACAUCUAAAAGGAAUUAUGAAUAUUAGAUAUUUAAUUAAUGAUAUUAUAUGUAAAAUAAGUAUGUUAAUUAGAAAAUAAUAGAAAUAAUAAUAAGAUAUUGAAAAAGUGAAAUAGAGAGUGUGAAUAGUAGUUCUCCAAAUUUGGAGAACUACUAUUUAACUCUCUAAAAAUGAAGAAUAGAGUCUUAAAUAAGAGUCCGAAACCUAAAUAAGCCACAAAAAGAUAAAAGUGACCAAAAUAAGCCACUAUUCUAGUAAGUAACUAAAAUAGGCUUAGUGGAAGAAAAAAUUUUGUUUUAUGCAAUAUUUCAAACGUUUUCUGUUAGUCUCAUAACGUGUAUAUUUUAAUAUAUAAAGGAACUAUUUCUUACACUUUGUAAAGUGUAAGAAAAACUUUCACUUUACAAAGUAUAAGAAAUAGUUCCGUUAUAUAUUAAAAUAUACUCGUUAUGAGACUAAUGGAAAACGUUUGAAAUAUUUCAUAAAACAGAAUUUUUUCCCAUUCUCUAUUUUACUCGUUGGAGAUUAUCUUAUGCUCUUGGUCAAGUAGAUUUUGCAAAAAUCCACUAUGAGACGUGGCAACUUUGGAUUGGCUGCAAUAGAGGAAAUCAACUUGUUAAGAUUUUUUAGACAUAAUUAUAAUAUAUCUAAAAAAAAUCUAGUCACAUUUUGUGGUGUUGAAACGCAAAAAGUUAACAAAUAGUCAUCCACCAAUGAGGAAACAGAUAAUGAUAUUUUAGGAUAAGGACUUUUUAGUCCUUCAAAGUCAUUUAAAUAGACUUGGUGCAAGACCAUGUAAUUCAAGCCAUAAAUCAAAUAUUAUUUGAGUGUAGUAGUAGCAGCAUUCAAGAGUAUUUCAUUUUAUUUAUACAAUGGCUGCUUCUACAAUGGCUCUAUCUUCCCCUUCUUUCGCCGGAAAGGCAGUGAAACUCUCACCAUCUUCUUCUGAAAUUACUGGAAAUGGAAAAGUCAUGAUGAGGAAGACUGUUACCAAGGCCAAGCCUAUCUCUUCUGGUAGCCCAUGGUACGGUCCUGAUCGUGUCAAGUACUUGGGCCCAUUCUCUGGUGAGUCCCCAAGUUACUUGACUGGUGAAUUUCCUGGUGACUAUGGAUGGGACACUGCUGGACUUUCAGCCGAUCCAGAAACUUUUGCUAAGAAUCGUGAGCUAGAGGUGAUCCACUGUAGAUGGGCCAUGCUUGGAGCUCUUGGUUGUGUCUUCCCCGAGCUCUUGGCUCGUAAUGGUGUCAAGUUCGGUGAAGCUGUAUGGUUCAAAGCUGGAUCCCAGAUUUUCAGUGAGGGUGGACUUGAUUACUUGGGCAACCCAAGCUUGGUCCAUGCACAAAGCAUCUUGGCCAUUUGGGCUUGUCAAGUUGUGUUGAUGGGAGCUGUAGAGGGUUACCGUAUUGCUGGUGGACCUCUCGGUGAGGUUGUUGACCCACUUUACCCCGGUGGUAGCUUCGACCCAUUAGGUCUUGCUGAUGACCCAGAGGCUUUUGCUGAGCUUAAGGUGAAGGAAAUCAAGAAUGGUAGACUUGCUAUGUUCUCCAUGUUUGGAUUCUUUGUUCAAGCUAUCGUCACCGGAAAGGGUCCAUUGGAAAACCUUGCGGACCACCUCGCUGACCCAGUUAACAACAACGCCUGGUCCUACGCCACAAACUUUGUCCCCGGAAAGUGAAGUUCUUAAGAAUAGAGUCUCCUCUAGUAUCAUAUUGGCUAAUGUUCUUGUAAACUAUUGUAAAUUAUUGGGGAUUAUAUAUGAAUUUUGAUCAAUUGUGUAGCUCUCAAUUAUACUUUUUGUGUUAUCCAUUAAUUAAAUACAAGUUAAAAUCAAGGGGUUUAAGGAGGCACACUGGCAUUUUUUGAGGUAUUAAAUUAAAUCAAAUAUAUAGUAUUAGUAACAACUAAGGUUCAAACAAGAAGUUUGCAAUACAGAAGAAAUUAUUAUUGAAAAGAUAGGCUAAUGAUUUUUUUCUUCCAAACAUAUACUGAAAUUCCAUGUAUGCAAAUUAAACAAGUUUUUUUUUUUUUUGACAAUUUGAAGGAUUGAACUUAAAUAUGAUCAAUUUGGACUAGUUGUAUUUAAUCACGCUAAGCAGCAGUAUGAAAACCAAGUUUACUUUUGUAUCUUUCCAGCUUGUUACAUUUACAUGUUCAUGUAUACCUAAAAAAUGAAUGGGUAAAGUUGUUGUCAUGUGAUUAGAAGGUAAUGAAUUUGAGUUAUGGAAAUAAUAUUGAUUAUACAUAAAUAUAGGAUAAGACUACAUCAAUAAACCCUUGUGAUUUGACCUUUUUCCCGAACCCCACGCAUAACAAUAACUUAAUUAAUGCAUCGGACUAUCAUUUUUUUCCCCUCUAGAGCUUCUUUAGAGAGAGUCCCUACUUAUGGAAACUAUUAUUUUGGACCACCGAUCCCUUUGACAUAAUCUCAGUUGUGUAAACACUGCAACAAAAAAAACUUUUAGCGAAAAUAAAUAUACACAUCAACAAAGAGGGUUAAUGCCUUUACUAGUAUUAAUUAAAUGUCAUUGGAUCCAAUGUCGCUAUAGGCUUUAGUAACACUUACAAAGAAUUCUAAUUGCCACUAAAAAUACAUAUUUAGUGGCACUGUUGCCGCUAAUAAAUUUGGUAUAGUGAAAUGAUAUGGCAGUUUGAUUGUGGAGUGACACCCGUGCAUUAGCGAAAGAUGCAAUUAGGGUGAAGAAAUGGAUAAAAUUUAGGAUAAAGUAUAGAAAUCUCAUACAUUUGAGGGCUAAUUAUAUACCAUAUUUCCAAAAGUUUUUCCAAUUACAAAAUCUCUUAUUUUCAAUCACUCACGGAUACAUUGCAAACAAUACAUUACUUAAGAUUUUGCUGCUUUAAAAAAGGAAAAUAACGGAAAAUAAGUGUCGGAUACAUUCCUUUAUUGUCGAAUGCAUCGGUCUCUAUUAUGUUGCAGGAUACAUUUGUCUCUACUCUGUUGUUAGAUACAUUGAUCUCCAUAUACAUAGCCUUUUAAGAUAAAUAACAAUGGAUGUAUGUACUGGUUAAUAAAAUAUAAUGAAAUUUGUCAUAGUUGUGUAUAUGAUACAUAACUAUGAACAUGAUUCAUACUGAUUUAUGUUUGAAAUAAUUGAGGUUAUGUAUCAAUAAUAAGAUUUGUACACGUUACAUUGUACACAAACAAUGUUAUAAUAUAUCUGAUAUUUGAAACACAUGUUACAUAAGUAACGAAACAAAAGAUGGAAGAAACUGAUGAUACAUGGCGAAAUUGUAGGCUUGAAUUUAGGGGAGUUAAGUGUGGAGUGGGGAGAAUGUGAGGGAUGUAUCCGAGGUUAGGCGAGAGAAGGAAAAAAGAUAUUUUUAUAAUUUUUUAAGUGGUCAGGAAUACUAGUGAUUAUGGUAUCUUAAGUUGUAUAUUUAUGUAAUUUUUCUUAAAAUUUAUGGUUAUUUAUUCAACCAAAUUCAUUUUAAAUGAGUUGGUUAUCCAAUCAUUUGAAAAUGGUCCAAAUAUGGAUCAACUCAUAAUCUUCAUCAUAAAAUACAAAUAAUUCAUGGGUAUAUAUCCACCAAUUGCACUCCCCUUAAAGUAUGUAAGGGCGUAGGAAUCUUUUUUUUAUUAUAAAAAUUUGGAUAACACACUGCAGGGUCAUUUGGGGAUGAUACUUUCAACAUGAUUUUCUUCAUACUCAGGGCUCAAAUCUGAGACCUCUGAUUAAGGAAGGAGCAGUCCCACCACUGCACCACAAUCCGUGUCGGCUGGUGUAGGAACCUCUAAAAUAUACAUUUAUUAAGGAUGUGUUUCGCAUGAAGGAAAAUAUUUAAAAUAUUUUUCAAUUUUCUUAUGUUUGGUUAGUUUUGAAUCUUUUGAUAAAUGUUUUUUUUAAAUGAUUUUUUUUUCUUUUAAUUUAAGAAAAAUGACUUUCAUGCCUAAGGAAAAGAUAUUUCAAAACUUUCCUUAAAUUAGGAAUAUAUUUUUUUAAAUAUUCCUUAAACAUCACUACCCGAAAUUGGUCUAGAAUUAGGAUUCCACUUCUAACCCCGACCCAACUCCUGACCACGAACGAAGACCCAAAUUUUGACCACCCAACCUUGACUCAAGACACUAAUUUUUCAAAAAAAUAUGAAAAUAUUUUCUUUCAUACGAAAGACAUCCUAGAAGGAGAAAAAAAAAUUCAAAAAAAUCUUGUAAUAUAGAAAUACAUAUUUAUUUGGGUUAAUACCUCAGAUGGUCACUCAACUAUCCACUUUUGCUUCAGAAAGUCACUCAACUUUUAAUUUUCACUAAAAAGUCACCAUGUGAGUGACUUUCUGAGGAAAGACUGGAUAGUUGAGUGACCAUCUGAGGUAUUAACCCAUAUUUAUUUUGCAUAAUAAGAAGCAAUGAAUAAUAUGGAUGAGUUUACUCAUUUUAAUUCAUGUCAAAUAUGGGUUGGGAUCAAAUAUUUUAUUCGUUUUCAUCUGACUUAUUUUUGACCAACUCAUAUAUCUGACUCGACUUACCCGUUUAUCACCCUUAGACGCAGUAUAUCUUCAUUGUGAUGCGUUCCUUAAAUCAUUACAAAUAAAUUUGAUCCCAAAUUUCAUUUUCAAUGUACCUAUAAAGUAAAAAUGCAAUAUUAGGCACAACUCACUAUAAGUAACUACACUCAAACCACGAUUAAAAGUAUUUAUAAAUAAAAUGAUGAAUUAUGAAAACAUGUUAGAUAGUACUUUAUCUGUUUCAAUUUAUUUGUUUUACUUAUUCUAAUAAAUCUGUUUAAAAAGAAUGUCUUUUUUAUUUAGGCAUGUGAAGAAGAAAUUAAAUGCUCCAUUGAGGAAGUGUGAGAGGUUGGAUAUAGUGAGUACGAUCGAAUAGAGGUAGAGGUAGGUUGAAAAAAAUACUGGAAGAGGUGAUUAGACAGGACACGAUAAAACUUCAGCUUACUGAGGACAUGACCAUAAAUAGGAGGGUGUGAAUGUCACAAAUUAGAGUAGAAUAUAAUGCUAGUAUGUAGUGAACUAACGUCUUUCUUCUUGACGGGUUAAGGUUUGGUGGUGUCUGCCCUAGUGAUAGCUUUAUUCUUGUAGUGUCUUGUUUUCUAUUUUCUGUCAGCAUUUGUUAUUUAUGGUGUUUCGAUUAGUGCUUUAUUAUGUUGUUGUUACUAUUUUCGUAUUAAUUGCUAUGCUUUCUUAAGUAUCGUUUUCCCUUUUCACUUACUUUGAUUUGUUAUACUCGAGCCGAGGGUCCUCUGAAAGCAACCUAUCUACCGCUAUGAGAUAGUGAUAUGGUAUGCAUACAAUCUACCCUUACACCUCACUUGUGGAAUUUCACUGAAUAUAUUAUUGUUGCUGUUGCAUAAACUAACAUGUUGUCUUUUAUCUACUAUAUUUAAAGGAAUUAAAUAGUAUUUAUUCAUGGAGUAAAUAAUUUUAUAUUAUCAACUAUUUUGCUAUAAUACAUGGCUUAAAUUAUGAAUCAAUUAUUAAUUUUGAAUUGAUAUUUAGAAUUUGUUGUUUAGUUUAUUCUAAAUUAUAGCGUGAAAAGGUAAAAUAGAAGCUUUUUUGAGUUAGCUAUUUUAAAUAGCGGUAAACAUCAAUUUGGGAAAAGCAUUUUAGGUGCUCAUUUGAAUUUCUUUUUGGAUAAAACUUACCUGGAUGUAUACACCAAUCCAAUAAAUGCAUGCCAUGUGUUUAAAUUUAUAGUUCAUUUUACUUGACCUUAAUUAAUUAACAUGUGUUUUACUUCAUUAAAUCAUAUAAUAAUAGAAAUUGCAUUAGUUUGGUGUAAACAUCCGGUGCGGAUAAGUUUUUUCCUUUUUUUUUUUGUUAAUAAUAAAUAGUUAUGUUGGAGAGAGGUACUAAAAUUAAAUAAGGCCCCAAUUAAUAAUAAAUAGUUUGUGUUAGAGAUAAAAUAAAAGUUAAUAAACAUUUCUUCUACUAAAAAUAUUGAAACAUCGUCAAAACAAUAUGCUUAACAACAGUACCUUUUAAAUAAAUCUAAACACAAAUUAUUAUUAUUUUUAAAAAUAUUUUUCUGAAAAAAUUAUUUUAAUAAAAGAGUUUACAAAAAUAAAUAAACUUAAACUUAUAGGUUAAACAACCCGUAAGUUCAACAUACUAAUGACGUAAAAAAAACAUAUUCAAAUAAAGUUAAUCAUUAGAUAAAUAUCUUGAUAAGCCAUAAUUAAGAAGGAAAAAAAAUAAUCUACAAACACUUUUUAAUUUACCUAAACACUUCAAAAGUAGGGGUGUGCAUUCGGUUUUUUGGUUUGGUUUUACACUAUUCGGUUUGGAUUUUCGGUUUUUGGUUUUGUAAAAAGUGUAACCAAAUCCGAUCCAAAAUAAAUUUGGUUUGGAUUGGUUUUCCUCUAUUCGGUUCGGCUUUUUUCGGUUUGGUUAUUCGAUUAUGUCAAUAAUUAAUAACAUAUAUAACCAAAGUAAUAAUAUUUAAUCCCUUAAAUAUACUUUCUAAUAUAAAUCAUGAGUAAAACUUAAAACACAAUACUUACAACUAUACCUAUUAUAGAUGUAAUUCAAACAUAAAAUAUAAACGUAAUCAUCACGAAAGACAAUAACCAAAAAGGGA
This 62490-nucleotide long non-coding RNA is filed under the name Solanum tuberosum (potato). Its description in RNAcentral is "long non-coding RNA (STUB_LNC003390)". Lineage: Eukaryota; Viridiplantae; Streptophyta; Magnoliopsida; Solanales; Solanaceae. The record is from RNAcentral.